This 82135-nucleotide long non-coding RNA is filed under the name Daucus carota (carrot). RNAcentral's name for it is "long non-coding RNA (DCAR_LNC006459)". The record is from RNAcentral. Lineage: Eukaryota; Viridiplantae; Streptophyta; Magnoliopsida; Apiales; Apiaceae.
AUUUUCAGCCUGCAAUUUGAGAAAUGGUAUUUCAAUAUAAAUAUGUAAAAAUUAUGAUAAAUAUAUCAUUUCUUCAUAAUAAUCGGAUUGAAUAAUUACCAACUGAGACAGAGAGGAAGACGAGAUGCAUGUCAACAUGGCAAAGUUGCAGGAAAAUGCAGAAUUCACGGGUCGAAUGAUGGCACAUGCUUUUCGCAAAUGAUCUUGCUUUGGAGGAUAUAAAUUGAGCUUGCUGGAUGGAUGCAGACUGCAGUAGGAAAAAAGAUUGAUUUUCCACAGUUUUAGCUGCCUGUUGUGUUUAAUUUUUCUAUAGUUCUAUGCUAGUCAAGAGUAGCGCACAGAAUUGUGUAAUGAGAUGACAAUUAAUAUAAUGGGUUUUAAUUAGAAGGGUCGCGCUCAAGAGAGAACCACUCCUUAAAAUAGAACCAUAGAACCACUAGGGUUCUGCUGCAGAACCCUAAAUUUUAAAUAGAUUUUUAGGAUCUAAAUCUAAAUACAUGUUUUUUUCAUGUUUUUUCAUUGUUGUGUGUGUUCAAAAAUAAUUUAAAAAUAUAAUUCAUAGAUAUUGACAUUUUUUUUGUGAAAUUCUGCUGCAGAACCCCAAUUUUUUUUUUUUUUUUAUAAUAAGAAUGAAUCUCAACAAAAAUGAUCCAGCAAUUCACCGAGAUAAUUCUUUCAUUCAAGAAAACUUAUCAUCUAACCAUCGGACAUGCAAGAUGACCGGGAAAAUUCAGAUAAUAAAACUUUAAUGUCCGAAAAGAAAACUCGUCUUCUUCCAAACAUCCUGAAAAUAUAAACAAAGGAAACAAAGAGAAUAUAAGUCUAUAUAUAUAACUGAUUAUAUAUAUAUUAUUAAAAAAUAAAGAAUAAUAUAUCCAAUAACUAAUAAUAAUUAACAUCAUGUGAUUAUCAUUCAACUAGUGAAAAAGAAAAUUAAGUAAAGUCUCAACCAAAGAUGGAUCUUUGGUGAGACACUAACGAAAAAGAUAAUAUACCGAAAAUAUAAUAUAACAAUUAUUAACAAGCCAACAAAGUGACACAUAAUUGCAGCCAACAAAGUGGCACAUAAAUGCCUCUUGCAAGCCAAAGAUAAACCAUCAAUCAUGGUCAGUUGUCACCCAUAAAUGGUACAAAAUUAGCCAUCAAUAGAUGCACAAUUAACGUACGAACUCAUUAAAUGACAAUCAAGAUAAUUUCAAAAAAAAAAAUCAAUAAUUUCCAUAUAUACAAAAGGAUCAACUUUAAAGUGAUAAAGGAAAUUUUAAUUAAGAAAAUUAAAAUUUUUAUAUAAAAUCCUUAUAACAUCUAUAAUAUGGGUCGCGCUCAAGAGAGAACCAGUCCUUAAAAUAGAACCAUAGAACCACUAAGGUUCUGCUGCGGAACCCUAAAUUUUAAAUAGAUUUUUAGGAUCUAAAUCUAAAUACAUGUUUUUUUCAUAUUUUUUCAUCGUUGUGUGUGUUCAAAAAUAAUUUUAAAAUCUAAUACAUAGAUAUUGACAUUUUUUGCAUGUGAAGUUCUGCUGCACAACCCUAACUCAUACUUAAGUUCUGCUGCAGAACCCUGUCUUAUAAGGUAAGGGUUCUAUGGUUCUCUCUCUAAUGGUUCUCUCUGAAACACGACCCAAUAUGAUAUAUCUAAUAGAGCAAACUUAAGUAAUUUAAUUCGAAAUGCCUAAUUUGUCCUUUACUCAUUAAACAUAUAUUUAUAUCUAUAAAGGUCAUUAUUGACUUUUAAUGUUAAGGUAUUUAUUGGACAUUAAUGUCUAAUCAUUAAUAUACAUUAAAUUACUUCAUAAUUAAAAUUCCAAUAAAAAUAUGUAUAAUAUAUUUAUAUUUAAAGUUUAAUAAUAUAUAAAUAAAUAUAAUGAGUAAUUUAAUUCGAAGAGACUAAUCUGCCCUUACUCAUUAUAAAUAUAUUUAUAUUUACACACAUAGAGGUUAUUAUUGACGUUUCAUACUAAUCUAUUUGGAGCAUCUCCAGCAGUGUCUCAAGUAGGUUUCUUAAAGUUAUUAUUGAUGUUUCAUACUAAUCUAUUUGGAGCAUCUCCAGCAGUGUCCCAAGUAGGUUUCUUAAAUAUAUAAUAAACAAUUCAAAUUCUAAAAAAUAGGGAUCCUAUAUUGAUUAACAACUCCAACAAUAAUCCCUAUUUNGGAUCCUAAAGUGUAGUGAAUGAGUAGGGACUCUGCUGAGUGAAAUUUUGCCCAUAUUCCUCAAAUUUUUAGCUUAAGACCUCAUAUAGCUAAUCUGCUGGAGAUGCUCUUAUUAGACAUUACUCCCUCCGUCUCUAAAAGCUUUUCUCGUUUGAUAUGUCGGGAUUAUUCAUAACAUGAGACAAAUUAUUAAUUUAUGUUUCAUCUGUUAGACUAAAUAUAGUCAUUAGUGAUCUUGUUGGUUUCGUAUUUAUGAGUACCUUAGUACAGUGUAGUUUUUAUAUUUAAUAUUAAUACGAAAUUAAAGAUAUUAACGAUCAAAAGUGUGUGUUGGCAAACGUGUUAAAGGCAAACAUGAAAAGUAUUAAGAGACGGAGGGAGUAAUAUAUAUUCAUUAAUAUACACUAAUUAUUUUAUUAUUAAAACUCCAAUACAUAUAUGUAUAUGAUAUUUAUAAUUAUGAUUUAAUAAAUAAACAAACAAAUAAAUAAAUAGCCAGUAAAAAGCGGGAAUCAGAAAAUCGGUGAUUAAUCGAGAUGUUUAACAUGACCAUUAUUUGAAAUUAAUUUAUUAUUAUGUGUGUGUGUGUAUAUAUAUAUAUAUAAUAUGUAUCUAAUCAUUUUUAAAAUUUUGAAUUUCCACCACAAAUUUUGUAAAUUUUAAUAUUUUACCCCAUUUUCGUCUGAUUAAUCCAUUUUUGAUCAAAUAAUCGAUUUAACCGUAUUUUACCAAAUCGGAUUAAAAAUAUAAUAUAUAACUAUAUAACAUACAACUCAAAAAAUUAAUAUUAUUUUUAAUAGUAAUUUUAUUCAGGCUAUAAAAGGCAAUGACAUGGACAAAACGGGAAUCAGAAAAUCGGCGAUUAAUCAUAAUCAUUAAUAGGAUUAUUAAAUUUAAUAAUUUAAUUAUAUAAUAAAAUUUUAAAUAAUGUAUAUUUUUAUAUUUAAAUUUUAAUAAAUAUCAUAAUAGUGAGGAUAUGAGUUAUAUAAACGGGUUAAUUAUCAAGUUAGUCACUGAAGUGGGUUUAAUGUAUCAAAUUGGUCACUGAACUCAAAACAGUAUCAAGAUGGUCACUGAAGUGGACAUAAAUAUCAAACACGUAACUUGAAAUAUAAGUUCAAGCAGUAAAAAUAUUAUUUAUAAAGUUUUACACAUUAUUUUUGAAUGUUACCAAAACCAAGUAAAAGGUUAUGACUUCUAAUAUUUAUGAUAAUAUAUUAAGAUUUUAUCAAGUUUAUUUAUUAUUUAUUUUUAAUUAAAACAAAGAAAAUAACUAUAUAAUAAAAUAUAAAUAAUAAAUAAACUUGAUAAAAUAUAAAUAUAUUAUUUUAAAUACUAGAAGUCAUAACCUUAUAGUUGGUUGUGGUCACAUUUAAAAAAAAUGUGUAAAACUUUAUAAAUAAUAUUUUUACUGCUUGAACUUAUAUUUCAAGGUACCUGUUUGAUAUUUAUGGUCACUUCAGUGACCAUCUUGAUACCGUUUUGAGUUCAGUGACCAAUUUGAUACAUUAAGCCCACUUCAGUGACUAACUUGAUAAUUAACCCUUAUAUAAACAUCAAUAAUAUGACUUAAAAUUUAAAUAAAUAUAAAAUUUCAAUUAAAAAAGGACGAACAAAGAUAUAUAAUAUAUAUUAAAAAAUAUUUUAAAGCAACCCGUGCUUUGCACGGGUUAAAAAGCUAGUUUAAGUAAAACAUCAAUCAAUGAUGAGAAUAUAACAAUUACUAAAAAGAUUGAUAUCUAAAUUUAAAAUAUAUAUAAAAAUGAGUUAAUCACUAAUUAAGGAAAUAUCGCAUAAUACAAAUUCCUUAUGUUACAACCAAAAUCAUUAAAACAUUAAAAGCAGACAAUUAAAACUGAAAAUUAAAUACAGUUAUACAAAACUGAAAUCAUAAAUUAUGCCAUAAUUUUAGUCAAGAAUUUUACAGCCGAAACCACCAUCGCAAACCACCGUUAGACCACCAUCAUUUUGAAAAUACAACAUGUUAACACUAAAUCAAAACCUAUUACUGGUUAUGGUUGCAUAGAAUUUAAUCUUAUGCAAGCAAUAUCAAAAUGCACAAAAUCUAUAUUAUGAAUAACAAUAUUAAGAUCAGAUGCACAUAUCUAAAUUAUCAACAGAUCACAUAAACAAGUAAGAUUGUGAAUUAGAAAGAGUACACCUUGAUUUUAUGGAGUAUGUUCACACAAAAUGAGUCAUUUUCAAAUAUGAUCCGUCCUUUGAAGAUAUCCUUCAAAGAUUAUCUGCUUUAGUUAAAUAUAUAUAUCAAACAUUUUUCUUUAGUUAAAUGGGCUUCAUAAAAUUUUGAAAUUGCAACCUUUUUCCUUACCUCUUGACACUUCAUGAAUUUUUUUGAUCAGAAGAUUCCAAAAAUUACAUUUACAAUAGCUGUGCAAACGAUUUGAAUUUUCAAGACUAAACUCGAAUAAACUCGAAUUUAUUCAGAAAAUCAAAAUAUUAUUUAUAACCCUAUCUAUAGCUUUGAUUUCAGAGUCAAUUUCGACUAAAUUUUACCAGAAAGGCCGAUUACUAUAGCAUGAACACUAAAAUUUUGGAUUUAAAAUCUAAACUUAAAUGAAAAAUCAAACAAAAAAAUGUAUAGCAUAAAUGCAAAAAUUCUGGAUUUUUGAUAUGUCUUUCAAAUUUUAUUAUAAAACCAUCAAGUCUUCAAUUCUAAAAAUCAAUGAUUAAUCACCGAUUAAUCCAAUUAAUAUCUAAUUAAUCCUUGUAUCUCGUCGAACUGAUUAAAUCUCCGAUUAAUCCAAUUAACAUCCGAUUAUUUUAAUUAAUCUCGAUUAAUCUUUGUUUCGUGACUUCGCCCUUAAAUCUGAUUUCCGCUUUUUAACAUGAGUUCCAACUUUUGUUUCUAACACUUUCAAUUUAAUUUUUAUUUUUACUCAGCUAUUAGAACCGGCAUCAACUAAAGUCGGCAGUAUUACUCCCGAAGUAAACACAGACAAGUUGCCGCGUGUCACUUGUCCGUAUGUACACAUAAAAUAUAAUCAAGAAUAUUUAUACUACUACAAUACUCCCUCUGUCCCAUUUAAUUCUAUACGUUUCUUUUUAACUGUUCGACACGCAUUUCAAUGUUCUUAUAAAAUAUAGUUACGUAACUUAUUUUUGAGAUUUUCUUUUUCUGUAUAAAAAUAUAACAUCUAAACUUUAAUUCAGAAAAGAAAAAUUUUAAAAAUAAAUUGCACAACUACAAUUUGCAGGAGCAUUAAAGUCUGUACCGCGUCCCCGUCCCCCAAUGUAUACACUCAGGGGGACGGAGGGAGUAAUAUAUAGCAGUUGCGGUGCUCUCCCUUUCUAUAAAAAACACCUCACUUUAAGGUUAAGCAUCUUCUGUAUCAAAUUUCAAAUCUUUGUUAGCAACUUCAACAAUGGCGUGCUUUCAAAGUUAUUUUUAUCUCUCUCUCAUUCUCCUCUCCCUUGUCUGCAUACAUCACACUGUCAACUGCGAUGAUAAUGGUAUGUGUUUCUUGAUUUUUCUGUGUUUUUGGUGCAUAAUACUAUGUUCUUCGUAUGCAUUUUUUUUAUUUGUUUUGUGGGUGUUCUUGUUUUUGAGUCCUUUUAUAUGUUUGAGCAACUUUUCUGACUACUAAUAAUGUUGUGGAGUUGGGAGGGGGGAGUUGUAUAUAGUUUUAGAUUAUUUUUUUUGAAAAAGGGUUGAUCUUGAUUUGGUGUUUCUUGAGAUGGGGUGUGUGUGAAUUGGCUAAAGAAGAUGUUACUUGGACUUGGAUCUGCUCUGGUUGUGUUUUUUAUAUUCAAAUUGGGAUUGUUCUUCCUGGUCUUGCUGUGUGUGUGUGUGAUUUGAAGAUGCAAGAUUAGUAAUAUCUGGGAUUUAGAUCUAUUUACCUUCUUGGUAAUGAAUAUGUGUAGUGUGUGUACAGGUAUAAGUGUAUGUGUAGUGUAUAGAUGUAGCUGGUGAGCUCAUUUCGAUCUUCGAGAUAUAUUGCAUUUGGGAUUGAGAUCUGUACUACAUUGUAUUUUAUACCAAACUUAUUUAGGUUCUGCAUUUGAAUAUGUUAGUAAUUGUCAAAGUAGUUAUAGAGUGAUCUGCAUAUGGAAUGAAAGUUCUUCAGCAAGGAGGGGAGGGGGUUGUUCGAUUGGAAGAGAAUAUUUUGGUAAACUUAGAUCUGCCAGCUACUUCUGCCUACAAUGUUGUUCAAUUUCAUUGACUUAAUUACCAAAUUCAUUUCCAUAGAUGUAAAGUUGGGUGCAAUAAAUGUAAUUAGUGAGCUGUGAAGUGUGUUUCUUUUAUAUGCUUUUACUUGAAACACUUCACAGAAUUUGAGCUGCUCGAUCAAGGUUCUCAGGGUUUAGGAAUACAGUUUAACAGUCUAGCAUUUCUUUCAACAACAUCGGCAUAUAAGACUUGCAUAAGGGACAAAUAAUUAUACUUUCUGUAGUUUUAAUAAAGACGGUAAUGAUCAUGAAUUGAAGAACACUAUUUUUUAUCUGAGAGAAUCAAAGUUACUCAUCAUUUAACCUUGUGUGUUGCUUGCAUCAUUCUGAGCCCUGUUUUGUGUAAUUGUACUUAAAUACUAAAGUAAUUAGUUUAGUAUGUUUUGAACUAUCUACUUUUUGCCCUUUUGGAAAUAAAGGCCAAGAAUAGUUGCAUAGGUGCUCUUUUAUAUGCACUUCUACACAUAAAUACUCUAUAAUCUGCACUUCCUUUUUUAUUGGAGUUUAGGGUACACAGUGGGUGAUUGACAUUUUAGUAGUUGAACUUCCGAUUUCAACAAUUUAAGGUAAAUUAUUUACAUCCUAGUUAAGUGUUUCAAUCUCACUUUUUAGUAUAAUUCCUUACAUCCUUAAUGUCACUUUUGUGGCUAAUAGAAUUUAGGCCCAAAUAGGGUGUCUUAAGAGCUUUAAAGCAAUUUGGUGACAAAUGUUUGUUCUAACAAUUGUUUAGAAAGGUGAUGGGUAUUACAGGUUGUAAUUUUGUAGUUUUGUUCUUCACCAUUCAAUUGAAGUACUUGAUAAUGACCCUUUUUUUUUCAGAUGAGGAAGACAGUCUUCUUCGAGGCAUCAACAGCUAUAGGGCCACUUUAAAUUUGCCAAGUCUGACAGACAAUGACAAAGCCGAGUGCCUCGCAGAGGAAAUUGCCGAGCAGUUUAAGAAUCAACCAUGUACAAAUACCACUGGUGCAAACACAGUACCUGGAACUGAGCCUCAAUUUUCGGACUUCCCAAACCUUUUAAACAAAUGCAAAUUGAAUGUCACCACUACAAGGGAUGGUGCCAUAUUGCCUGCUUGUGUUCCUAAUCUAGCUCAGGAUAUAGUCCUAUCCAAUUACACACAUUCUCAGUAUUCUGGCUCUCUCAAUGAUACAAAAUACACUGGAAUUGGGAUCGGCUCGGAUGACAACUGGAUUGUUGUUAUUUUGACCACAGAUACUCCAACCGGGAAUUUUGCCACUGGUUCCUCCGUUCCAGAUGUCAACUUUGUAACAAAGAUGAGUCCAUUUCAACCCCUUUUAUUUGUGAUGAUGGGAAUUUUCUUCCUUGUUGGAGCAUAUUAAGCAAGUGAAUUUCACAUAUUCUAGUGGAGGGCCGGAUACUAACUGUUGCUGGAAUUUUAUUGUCUCCUAACUGAUACUUUCUCAGAGGUUGAAUAAUUCAGUUACUAGGACAGCCUGCUCUCACGAAGACAUGAACUUAAAGCUGUUUCUGUUUAUGUUGCCUCGUAAUGCUGUUGCAAUCAACCCGGAUUUUGCUGAGUUGUAUACAUAGUUGUUUUAAAUCUUUUUUAGUUUCUGUUUCUUGAAUAUGAUCUGCUGCUUUGAGGUAAGACCUGAUCAUACUUUCUUUGAGCAUAUAUGUGUGUGGUUCUUGUAAUGUUUCUCCUCUUAUUCCUCUCAUGUUUGUCUGAGUUCAAAAUUUUGUUGUUCCAUGUUCUAUAUAUGUGUCAGUUGUACCGACCGGUUGUUUAAUAAAAAGAACUUUUAAAAUAAUUUAUACCGAGUCCUAAAACAUAUGUGGAGUCCUCCGAGACGUAUAUAAAUGGCCGGGACAAAAGUGACCCAAACGUAUAUAAAUGGCCGGGACUGAGCAGUACAUUGGUUGUCAAGAAGAGAAGAAGAAAGAGAGAGGACGUUGUAGGCGGGUGUUCAUUAAUGAUGCAGAGAAUAUACGCUAUCAACCCCACAGAGUAAUGAGAAUUUGGCCGAUACUUUUAUUCCCUAUCGCCAACUUGUGGUAAGCUCCUCAACAGCUGAACUUGGACAUUGCUUUCUGUGAGCUCUUCAACUUUGCACUAGUAUAAAACAAGUCCUCAUAACUGUAAGAGCAAGUCCAAUGGGGGAGCUAAAGUGGGUGCUAUUGCCAUAAUAUAGCACUCAAAGAAAAAAUGCAACUCCAAUGAGAUGCUGUAUUUAGAUGCAAAAUAGUAAAAUUCUAUACUUAGAUGCUAAAUAUAGAACCAAGUAUAGAUGUUGCUAUUUCUAUAAUAUAGCACCUUUAACUCAUUAACUAGUUUCCAAUUUCUAGUUAUUGAUGAUGUGGUAACAUGGAUGGAUCCAUCUUUGGUUUCAAAUAUAGAACCAAGGAUGCAUCUAAGUAUGGAUGCAUCCAAAUAUAGCAUCCCUUUGGAGUUGAGUUUUUUUACUUUUGAUGCUAUAAUAUAGCAAUCAAACCAAGUAUAGCAUUGCAUUGGAGUUACUCUAAGGAAAAAAUGCAACUCCGAUGAGAUGCUAUAUUUAGAUGUUAGAUGUAUUUAUAGGAGGGUAGUUGAAGGUUAGUUAAUAUCAGUGUUGUAAAAAGCGCAAAUCGGUCCUAAACGGUGAGGUGACCUUCUAGCGCUUAAGCGGAUAAGCGGACGCUUAAGCGGAAUUUUAAGCGGGUGAUUAAGCGGAACAAUAAUUUAUAUUUAAAAUUAUAUAUAUAAUAAUAUUAUAUGUAAAAUUAAAAUUAUAAAAUAAUUAAGUAACAAGAAUUUAAACAUAAAAUGUUUUUGAUAAAAAAAGAUAUUUUUAAUAUUUUAUUAUAAUUUUAUUAAUAUUUAUAGAAAAAUAUUUAUAUUUAAAUAUAAGAAAUUAGCAAGUCAACAUCAUUCUGACCGCUUAAUCCGUUUAAUGACCGCUUAAUCCGCUUAACAGACCGCUUAAUGUUAAAAAACGCUUAAUCACCCGCUUAAUGUAAAAUCGAAGCGUUUCACCCUCCGAUUCCGCUUAAGCGCCCGCUUAGACGGCCGCUUAAUGCGCUUUUUAGAACACUGGUUAAUAUACAUCUAAUUGGUUCUAUUUUUAAUCUAUCCAUUGGAGUAUGAGUUCUAUUUUAACUCCAAAAACCACUUUUUAGUUUCAAAUUAUAACAAUAACUAUACACAUUUUAGCAUUACCAUUGGAAUUGCUCUAAUAGUAAUAUUUCCAUAGUCUUCGCUAUAUACCAAGCCAUGAAAGAAUGAAGAAACCUCUGAAUAUUACGGCGAAAUCAGUGUUGUUGUGGCAGAGAUUAAGGUUGCUACAAAAAAUUAUGUAAAUUUUAUUGGGAAAAAUGAAAAUGAUAGGCACUCACAAAUUGUUCUCAAUUUUUUUUCCCAAAUCUUAAUUGAUAAUAUCUGAUUAUUUAACUUACACUGAUAAUAAUGAGAACCUCUUGUAUACACAUAAACCACUCAAAUAAAAUUAGACGUCAUCCGAAGAAAAUGAAGAUUAAAUUUGGAAUAUGCAGGAGUCGAGGGAAGGGCAAGCCUCUUCUUAUGUUCAAACUGUUGGUGGCAGUAAUUGAUGCGCCGAGAGGUACUUUUUUUAGAUGAAUAAAUUAGAAAAAUGUGAUCGUUAUAAUACCUACAGAAAUAGAUUAUUAUUAUGCAUCAAAAAUUUUAUCCUCAUAUUUCUACCAAAUAAUAUGACAAACAAAUAAUUGAUUUCAACUGAAUCUGAAAGUAAUUCUUUAAGUACCUAGCAUUUUCUGCACCAAAAUUGAACUUCUGGAAGGUUAUCAAACUGCAAUCAAAUUCUCAGAGAGUGGGGUACCAUUUGCAACCGAAAAAGUCAAGUUGGACAUGUUGUGAAGUUGUGGUUUGACUUCUAUCAGAAAUGCACGAUACUUUACUCAAACUUGGUCAAAAAAGAAUGUCGGUUAGAUGCAGAGAAGCGUUGACAAUUUAAAAACAAAUGGAAAACAGGGAGUUAGCAGGAGUGAUGAUUGAUAUUAGUAGUUGAGGAACAUCAACAGAUGAUCUAGUGUUUUGUGUUAUGAUUUUGCAGGGUGUAUUGUACAUAAUGAUGGAGAUUCCACUUUAAAAAGAUCAUCAGAAUCCAAGUGAAUUCGUGUGUUUCCUAACUAAUACACUCAAAGAUUCAUCGUGUUGGUUGUUAAGCUUAAAAAAGAAGAGAGGGUCUAGUGGAUUUUUUGUGAUUGGAAUGGAUGAGGCAGAUGGACCCUUUUUUUUUUCUUUCUCCGACACCGCAUUACAAGGCCAGUGCAAUAGCCUUUUAGCUGAGUAACUUCAAACUUAGCGCAAUGAAAUUAAGGUGGUGCUUGAUUCAUGGUUAACGAGGUCGGUUGGCGGGAAUCAGAACCUCAAUCUUAUGUGUAAGUGUUUGGAUUAGUAAUUUGAUGGUAUGGAAUAAGAACCUUAAUCUUUUUAGGUGGUUAAAUCAUACUCUUUUCAACUUUUGAGUUUUCAUAUCAUUCUUAUUCUCAUUCUCGAUUCUCAUACACACAUGAAAAACAAAAGUAUGUAUAAAAAAUAUUUAAUUUAUUUAUUUCAAGGAAAUUUAGGAGUUGAACCUCCGGGCACAUAUACGUCACACCUUUUUUCAUUGCUUAAUUAGGAAGAAUACAUGUUCGUUUUCACAAAGAACCAAUAAUUAGAUCGCUCUUUUUAGAGAUCGUGAACCCUUGUCAUACUGUAUAUAAUAAAAUACCGCGUGUGCCUUUUACAUGCAUGGAUGGUAGUUACGUAUGCACAUGGAUAAGUAUUCACAGUUUUGCUAGUCGAUUAAACAAUUAGCCGAGACACACAAUCAAGAAUAAUCAUUUUGUACUAGUAUAUCAAAAUUACAAUUCUAAUAUAUUUUUGAGUUAUUGUUUCGGGUUUAACUUCAAAAUAUAUUAUUUUAACUGUUAUUCUUUAAAUUUAUGUAUAGGUGAUACAGAAGUUCUGAGAUCUCAAAUUUUAUUGGUUAAUAUCAUAUUUCAUAUAAAUUGAUCUUGAGCAUUAACUUUUUCUUAUUUUGGUGGAUACUUAAAACUUAAAAAGUAGAAAAUAAAUACAAAAGUACAGACUCAAGACUGGAGUACAUGUGUGCUCGAAGUCAACGAGCUCAUCUAAUUUAGAAUGGAGGGAGUAUCGUAGGUGCUUGAUUGAAUAAUUGUUACAGCGAACUUGCACUAAGAUGAAUAAUGGAGGAUUCUCCGCUGGCUAGCUUCCCCUAUGUUUUGUCUAUGUCAGGGCAUUGCCCUUCUCCACUCUCCAGUCUCCAAUAAACAUAGUAUAUACUUCCAGCUGUGUAGUAACAUUCUAGUGGAUAUGGCGGCAUGGUGACCAACAUUUCCUUCAUUAAACUAGUAAAUAAACUUUUUCUUAAAGCUAUGCGAUUCGACCCCAUUUCUAACUCGUACGGACACCAUCACCCAUAACAUAUGCGUUAUGGAGUAGAAUAUCCGCUACAAAGAAUAACACAAUCACCCAUAAUUUAUCAAUAUUACGGAGUAGGAGCAUCUCCAAAAAUUGAGAUCUGUUAGUUAAAAUAUCUAUGUGUCAUUCCAUGUGUCAUCUAAGUGGCACUUUUAGAUGAUAUGUAAAAAGAAAUACUCUCUGUUAUAGCCAAAUUUGGCUAGGUCCUUGUUGGGCCAGGUAUGUACUUAGUUUAACUAAGUAAGACAUGAAUUGGGCUAAGAGUCCUAUAUAAAGGAAGGACGCGUCCUCCUGCUUAUAAAGUGAGGACGCGACCGACCCUUGAAGAGACUAGUCUGAACGGAAGGGCGCAGCCCUCCGUGAUAUGACUGAUCCGCCGAUGUUGCGUAUCUUAAUGAAGAGGACGCGUCCUCCGCGUCGGAAGGAGGGAUGCGUCCUCCAGGUCACACGUGUCCCAUGAAGAGGACGCGUCCUCCUGCUUAUAAAGGGAGGAUGCGAUCGACCCUUGGUGUUGCGUGAAGAGGAGGCGUCCUCCUGCUUAUAAAAGGAGGAUGCGACCGACCAUUGGUGUUGCGUGAAGAGGACGCGUCCUCCGAGUCACAAGGAGGGACGCCUUACUUGAGAGUGUUGAUGGAGAGACGCGACCGACCUCCGUCCACCCACGUCGUGUAAUCUAUGGAGGAGGGCGCGCCCUCUUCGGAGGUGACCGAGGGGCGCGUCCCUUGUAAGAAGUUGACCAUGAGAUGAAGACCAAGGGCGUGCCUUUAACGGGGUGUCCUCGCCUCCCCGGGGGCGCGACCUCAUGUUAAAGAAGGACCUGUCUGAUGUGUUGUUGGAGUGGUCGAUGGGACGAGACGGCGAAGGCAAGGGCGCGCCCUCAGGGGUCGCUCCCACAUGUAAACACAUAUUGUAAGAAGGCUCUUCCUAUAGGAGAGCGUACAUUCGCUGAGACAACCCUUCCGAGGGAGACGAAGACCGCCCCUCCGGGGAUAGGAAGACCUACCCCUCCGGGGGAUAUGACGACCCCUCCGGGGGAUACGACGACUCUUCCGAGGUGUUGUAGCCGUUUUUGUACACCAUGUAGAGGGGAGGACGCGCCCUCCUCCGGACAUAACCCGGGGAGUGCGGUCUCUUGUCCAGUAAACAGGGAUGAAGACGGGAAUUGGGAAGGACACGUCCUCCCUAUCAGGGCGCGUCCUUUGACUCAGACGAGGCAUAGUUAUGAAAUACAUGAUGAGAGAGAGAGGAUGAGUGAGUCUCCGUGACGACCCUUCCGAGGGAUAUGAAGACUAGUUACCAAGCUCAUUUGGUAGUUACCAAGCUCAUUUGGUAGUUAUCAGGCUCAUCUGAUAGUUCCCGGGCUCAUCCGGGCAUGAUCUACAAUCCUCAAUCCUGCUAUCUGCCGAGUUAACCCUCGUGUGGGGGCUUGAGGUGAUCAUGGCUCUUGAAGGCCCUCCGGGGUAACACGAAGGCCGAUCAUAUGUCUGGAUCCUGUAUUCUGGUGAGUUAGCCCUCAUCGGGGGAUUGAGACGAUCGUGUAAUUUGGCUCCUUGUCUACCUUGUUUGAAGAUGAAGACCUCACCGAGAGGUGAGGACGUGUCCCUGCACCUCGAGGGGUUAGUCAUGGCUCCCCCAGAUAACUUCUCCAUAAGAGUCGUGGUAGAUGCUAUCUCUCGUAGUGGAGAUAUCGUUGAAUCCGUGAUCUAUUUGGAUUAGGAGUCUGGGGUAGUCAUACUCAAGACUAAUUCUAACAGGAGUAGGAUUCUCCAAGAUGGGCCUUCGGCCUAUCUCCGACCUUAUCGCCAAGAGGCCUAGUCCUGAUCAAACUAGGACUCUUGGUCCAAUAGAACUACGUAUGGCUUGAUCCCCUAUAAAUAGGGGUACGUAGGCACAUUGGGGGAUCAUGAGUUGAGAGCACGUGAGACCAACUCAAAACCCUAAUCUCAGCCACCCCCUAAAACACACAAUCACCGCACUCCGGCGACCAAAACCACCGUCACAGAUCUUGAUUCCGGCCAUGAACCUCAUCUUUGUUGAUUACCAAAUUCCUCUAUCAACACUCUCCAACCGCAAAAAGAAUAUAGAUAAUCAUGUAUGAUUCAAUAGAUUUGUUGAACUAGUAAAAUUAUUAUGUAUAAUUUUAACUUGACAUAAUUAUACAUAACCCUAUUGGAGUGUUUUUCUCACCUGUUAGCAAAAAACUUGUAUAAACAAUUUACAUAAUCAUUAUAGCUAACAAAUUUCGAAAUCACCCUUGAAGAUGCUCUAAGCUGAUCUAUUCGAUCAAAACCGUGUCUCAAUGACAUUUUAUGUAAAGUUUAUACACUCACAUUUUCUGUAUCACUUGUAUAAUUGUUAGCCAUCAACUUUUCCCUCAAAACUCACUUGUGUCGCCGUUUUCAUGUAUACAACGGUAUUAUAUACCUAACCGGCCAAAUACAAUUUAUUUUGUACUGAUGUCGAGAUUUCAAAUUUCUAUCUGCCAGUCGAAAUUUCACCGAUAUAGAGAAUUAUAAGGAUACAAUUUCAUAAAUAAAGUACCUAAGUUUCUCAGCAUCAAAAUGCACAUCAUACAAAUCCCCGAAACUAAAAAUAUUGAGAAAAUUUAGCUAAGUAGCCACCCAGAAAGCCUCCCAAUUACAGAACCCUCUCUUGUUAUUACCAUGCCCACUUUCCUUGCACCUGCUGUUGUGUCUCGCAAUACUUUCCCUCCCCAUUACAACCUCAACAUCUUGUCUAAUUCCAUCCUUGUCCUUUUUUAUGUAACCAACAAUCUUGUUGUUAGCACCAUCUUUUUUAAAUUCAUCUCCUACAAAAACAUCCUCAAUUUCAUGUGUUUUAUAAUCUUCUCUUUCGAAAUUUUCUAUGUUUUCAUUUUCGGUAUCUUCUGAUCUCGCUUUUGUGUCAUAAAAAAACUCACAGUUCUUCAAAAACCUCAGUUGUAACCUGCCAUUGCUUCGCUCAGCUUCGAAACAGGCACGACUAGACGGCGCUUCCACGGCCUCAAUGAUGAGCCGGCCGCCUUCUCUGCGUGGCUUAACGUGAAGCGAAUUCGAACCACUUAUAGUUGUUAACGGAGGCGGAAAGCUCCGUGUGCUCAUCUUCUUUGCUGAUAAAACACGUCCUUGUUGCCUUGUGAUUGUUGAUGAUUUUGCACGUGUUAAAAUGUCAAUAUCACACGUGUCAUCGCUGCCUGUUUCGCUUCCCAAGUUUUCGGUACAUAAUUCCAGGCUAUUCUGGCUAAGCUUGUGAGAUGGACAAAAAGUUUCGGUACUAAAUAUUUUUUUCGGACGAUCCGAGAGCAUCUGGAGAAAAUUCCAAGCACCCGAAUCGGGGUUUUUAUUUUCUUUGGUAUUAGUGGUUUCGAGUCCUAGGGGUUUAGGUGCUGCCAAUUUGAGCCUCAGAGGUUUGUUUUCGGGGUGCUGCCAAUUUGAACCCUGAUAUACAAUGGUCGAGGACAUAGCUAUAUAGAUUUGUAAAGGAGUGUUUAGGUUGAGAUGAAACAGAUUAAUAAAGAGAAGAGUUUGUGUUUCUUUGCGAGAGAGGAAAGAAACGAAGAAGAUGUUCGACUUGAGAGACAAGUGAGGGGGAAGAUGUGAAUUUGUAGUACCCAAAAAGUGGAAUAGAGCUAGGAGAUUGGACGAAGCUUUUUGCUAGCUAACCGACAUAUAUAGGUUCUGUUUGUUAACGAGAAGUAGCUUGUACUUCUGUCUUCUGUUUUUCUUGAUCCAUUUGUGUAAAAAAACUUUUAAGAAGCUGAGAAUACUAGCUUCUCUCCCAUAGCUUCUUCUACUUCUUUUUCAAACACUUUAUUAACUUAUUUUUUUUCCACUUCUGCUCCACUUCUUUAAUUUAAACAAGAAAUCAUUUCUUUUAAAUUUGCCCAAACGGCUCCAUAGUAAAAAAAAAAACUGAUUUAAAAAUUUGUUAUGAUUCUCUGUCAAAAUGGUCUUGUAAUUAUUUUACCGUUUAAAAUGAGCUCAGGCGGUGUCCGACUGAAAUCUUGUUGUUGAAUGAGGUCAGCAGGUUCGAUCUUCAUGUCUGUUUUCACAAGUUACCCACGCAAUCAAAAUGAAGUCAAGUUCGAUGUUCCAGACUUCCAGGUUCAUGUUUCCUUCCAUAAGUCAAUGUUAAUCACAAUUGCUCUGCUCUGCUCCGCAGUCUCGUUGUAGUUUUAGAAACGGCUUUUCUUGCGGUCAUGCACAUGCAAAGCGCGAAAUUUUAUACAUUUGAGGGAUUUUAAUUGACUCUUAUAUCUUACUGUAAUAAUGAUGGACUCUUGCAUAUAUAACAAUCACACUAAUCAAAAUCUCUCAAACAUAUAAAAUUCCGUGCUUAACAUGGGCCAAUAAGCACACACAAGACAAAUCCUUUUAAAAAUGUCAAGACUCAACAGCAUAUCCUUUAAAUUAGUUAAAUGAUUGCCUGCCAAGCUGACCGAGACUGACGUAUUCUCAACAGAGGCAUCAGAAAACUUCUAUUUAAAAUGUUUUUUCCGUUUAGGUCAACUACUUUUUGGUGCAGCAAUCUGUUCUUCAUAGCUUGGACGAAACUAGUAGGUUCAUUAGUAAUAUAAACAAAGUGUGAAAAUAAAUUUGUCAACCAGAAAAGGAGUAUAAUAUCAUUUCUUGAAAUUAUAUUCAAGUAUUGCCAGCAUUUGUGUAGCGGAAAGGGGGAACUAGGCAUGGGGUUGUGCAAAAUAUAGUUCAAAUUCAUGAAUCGCGUAUGAAUUGUUUGUAGUUUUAUAUUAGAAGAGUCAAUUUUCAUUUUAUUUUAUAGCUAAAUAUUUAUUUAGGUUUUGAUCCAUGACAAUCGGUUGUCAGGAAGUCUUUAUCAAACCCACAGCUCCGUUAGCAUUUCAAGAGUCUGGAUUAAAACAUUUUUUUUAAGUAUCCGCUUAAAAAAAAGUUUCAAUCUAGACCCUUGAAAUAAAGAUCCGACGCCCCUGAAAAUGUGUGUUAGAUAAACUGUCUCUGACAAGUGACAACCAGUUGUCAGGACCAAGACCCAUUUAUUUAUACAUGUAUGUCGAAACAACAUUUAUCACAGACAGCCUGCACACUCUUACAUCGAUCAAAGUAUAUAUACUACUACUCCCUCCGUCCCAAUGAAUUAUAUACAUUGGGAUUGGACACGGAGACCAAGAAAAAGUGUAAGAAAUGAGUAAAGUUAGAUGAAAAGUAGGUAAAGUGGUGAGACCCACAUAUUUCUUAAUAAUAGAUUUGAGGUAGUGGAAGAAAGUAGUGGGUGUAAUAGUGUUUUUAUUAUUAUUGAAUGGAGAUAGUGGGAGAAUGUAGUGGGUGGAAUAGUGUUUUAUAUUAUAAAAAGUUGCUAUUUUGGGAAUGUAUAGAAAUGAUGGGACAUCCCAAAAAAGAAACUGUAUAGAAUUGAUUGGGACGGAGGGAGUAGAAUGCAUAUAGGUGCUGUGUCCGGGUAAAAUGACAAAAUCACCACUCAGCAACCAGGAUAUUUUUUCGUCACGCGCAAUAGAAUCAAUAAUUUAGUUAAAUAAAUAUUUUUUUAUUUGUUUGCUUCGUCACAAGGCAAUUAUUUUUAUUGUUGCGGUUUACUAUUAUCACCCCUUUUGUAAUUAGCGUUCUAAUUUUAGCCAAUUAAUAGGCCUGAUACCACAUUAACAAAAUUGCAUAAACUACAAAUGCUUACGCAGAUUGCUAAAGGUCCUUUACAUAAAAUAUAAUACAGUCCGUAUACUUUAAACUACUUUAUGAAGGUGAAAGUAAUGAAAUCAUCUUCCANAUACUUUAAACUACUUUAUGAAGGUGAAAGUAAUGAAAUCAUCUUCCCCCGGAAAAAAAAAAAAAAGAACCUUUAUUUGUUUGUCCGGUUGGUUCUAACUUGCUCAUUCGGCUAUUGAACUGCUAGUACGAAUACGAUAUAUUUUUGAAAUGGUUCACGAGCUCAAAUUUCACGGAUCGAGAAAUGUAAGAGAGAAGAUCAAUAUUCACAAAAGCUAUUCGAUUCAUUAAACUAUCGAUUCAGAUUUUGUUAAAAAUGUUUCAGUGAUUUUGUUAGGCUGAUGCAGGCCGAGCCUGUACUUAUUUAAUACUCCUUCCGUUCUUUUUUAAUUGUCGUUUUGUACCGGUUAAAUUGAUUAAAGUUGACUGAAAUUUAUUAAUAUUUUAUCAAUUGACAAAAUAAAAAAAAAUGUCACCUGAAAUAAUUUUUAAUUUAUUUUAAGAUGUAAUUUUUAAUUUUUUAAAAUAACAAGUGACGGAGUGAGGGACUUAUAAUUUUUGAUCAAAACUUAGACAGUUUAACUAACAAAAAUAAAAAUGUAACAACUAUGAAGAAAUGAGGCAGUAUUCCGACAAUUACAGAAAGCAAUUAGGCUAAUCUUAAAGUAUCUGGGAGGUUACCGACAAGUGACGAAGUUAGUGACUGGAGGGGGCCUUUGUAACUUGACGAGGCUCACUUGCGGAGAGAAUGGGCGCCAUGUGUCAAUCAAAUUUAGAAAUUAAUUUUGAUGGGUUCAAAAAUCAUCCUAAUGAACUACGAUAUAAAUAAGUUUUUAUUAGCGAGGAUAUGAUCAUGCAUUGAGCUAUCUUAUAAUGUUAUGAUUUACUAUUAUUUUAUUAUUCUGAUCACAGUUAGAAUAGUUCCCUGAUUUGAAAAAUUAUUUUGACGUCGCAUUGAAUAGACCCGUAUCAAUUUGUUCAAUAUUUUCUAAAUUUUUACUGAUCAGUCCGAUUUCUGUAUGUUAUUUUGACUGACGUACAUGAGUACAUUACUGUCAUGGUUUAUCAUGGUUGACGAUCUGUUCAUUAAAUAUUUUAUUGACCGUCAUGUGAAAGUUUUUUUUUUUUUUUUUUUGUCAGGUCCGUCAUGAAAGUUGUUUUGAUAAAAAGAAAUUAAAAGGAUAAGUUGAACCAUAGACCAUCUGAUUAACACUUCACACGCUGUUUUUAUUAUUAAACCAAGUUAUAUAAUUGGAAUUAGAUUCUCUGCUUACCGCCACACACAGAAAGUUUUGCAUCACAAUCCAUUCAUGACAAACUACGUCCUUCUGUUUGGCCUCAAGUAAAAAGUUGGUGUCAUUAUAUUUUGUUUAAUUUCAUUUUCGUAAUUAUAUAUUUUAAUUAAUAAUAUUUCAAGAUUUUUGUAAUAUAUAAUUUAAUAAAUUAUUUUAAUCUUUUCUGAAUAAAAUUUUAAUAUUUUAAAUUUUUGUUUAGAAAUCACAAUUUAAUACUCCCUCCGUCCCAUUUUAAUCGACACUUAUUCCUUUUUGGGACGUCCCAAAAAGAAUUGAACCUAUUACACUUACUAUUUUUGAACACUGUUUUUCACUAUUACACUCACUCCUUCUUCCACUAUCUCUAUUCUAUAAUAAUAUAAACACUAUUACACUCACUUCUUUUCUUUCCUCCACUAUAUCAAAUUUAUUAUUAAAAUUUUGAUGGGUUCCAUCAUUUUACCAACUUUUCAACUAAUUUAAUUUAAUUUCUUUUACUAUUUUUUUCUUAAUCUCCGUGAAAGUCAAAGCAAUUCAAUCUUUUUGGGACGGAGGGAGCAUGUGUAUUGUGACCUGGCGAGAUUUUGUUGUCAAAACAUGAACGUAGCCCGGUUUUUGAUUUUGGUUUAGGCGGCAGUGAAUUGGGCUUCUACAAAAUAAUUGGGACCUUACCGGCUCAUCAUUAUUAUUUUUUAAAAGUUCUAGACAUACGUCAAAUAUUUGUUUUAAUUUUUAAAACUCAUACACUUUAAUUUACGAAACAAAUUUAUAAAACUUCUAUCGUAUUUCAGAAUUAAAAUAAACAAGAUUCAAUAUUGAUACCAAAGUACCAAAAAAAUUGGUCAUAUAUUUUUUAAUAGAUAAUAAUUAUUAUCAUUCAAUGUUUUUCAGAAUAUUGCGAUAAAGACGAAUAAGGCGGUGGUAACACUGACUUGAUGGAAACUUAAAAAAAAUAAGUCAUUGUCCAUAUUACAACAUAUAAUAAAAGAACCAAAACUCUAGACAUACGUCAAAUAUUCGUUUUAAUUUUUAAAACUCAUACACUUUAAUUUACGAAACAAAUUUAUAAAACUUCUAUCGUAUUUCAGAAUUAAAAUAAACAAGAUUCAAUAUUGAUACCAAAGUACCAAAAAAAGUGGUCAUAUAUUUUUUAAUAGAAAAUAAUUAUUAUCAUUCAAUGUUUUCCAGAAGAUUGCGAUAAAGACGAAUAAGGCGGUGGUAACACUAACUUGACAAAUGGAAACUUAAAAAAAUGAAGUCAUUGUCCAUAUUGCAACAUAUAUAAUAGAAGAACCGAAACUCUGGACAUACGUCAAAUAUUCGUUUUAAUUUUUAAAACUCAUACACUUUAAUUUACGAAACAAAUCUAUAAAAUUCUAUCAUAUAUCAGAAUUAAAAUAAACAAGAUUCGAUAUUGAUACCAAAGUACCAAAAAACUUGGUCAUUUAUUUUUUAAUAAUAAUUAUUAUUAUCAUUCAGUGUUUUUUAGAAGAUUGCGAUAAAGACGAAUAAGACGGUGGUAACACUGACUUGACAAAUGGAAACUUAAAAAAAAAAUGAAGUCAUUGUCCAUAUUGCCACAUAUAAUAAAAGAACCGAAACUCUAGACAUACGUCAAAUAUUCGUUUUAAUAUUUAAAACUCAUACAAUUUAAUUUACGAAACAAAUCUAUAAAAUUUCAAUCAUAUUUCAGAAUUAAAAUAAACAAGAUUCGAUAUUGAUACCAAAGUACCAAAAAACUUGGUCAUUUAUUUUUCAAUAAUAAUAAUUAUUAUCAUUUAGUGUUUUUCAGAAGAUUGCGAUAAAGACGAAUUAGGCGGUGGCAACACUGACUUGACAAAUAGAAACUCAAAGAAAAUGAAGUCAUUAUCCAUAUUGCAACAUAUAAUAAAAUAAUCGAAACUCUAGACAUACGUCAAGAUAUUUGAUAUCAAAUCAUUAUUCUACUUAUGAGUUAUAUUUUAGAACAUAUAUAAUGUUUAGUGAUUUAUAAUAUAAUUGUUUUAUCUUUUAAUUGCAACGAUUAUAUUGUAGAACAUAACCUGUAAAUUGUCAGAUGUUUACAAAUAUUAUAGAUUAAAAAAAUUAAAAUUGAAACGAGUAGAGUAUUUUUAAAUAAUUUUGGACAACAAUACUCUUAUCUUGUGGACUCCAUAGAUUAGGGACCCAUAUUAUUAUGACAUAAAUUUAAAGUAUGAUCAAAUUUUAAUAAUUAGAAAAUCUUAUAUUAAAUAACAAUAAUUUAAAUAUCAUUUAAAAAUAAUAAUUUAAAUAGGUAUAAUAAACUUGUUAUAAGAAAUCAAUACCCUUUAUUAAUAAGCGAAACCACUUUUCGGUGGAACAUCGGUACCAAAAGUACCAAAAUUUGGUCACUUUCAUAUUGAUUAGGAUUUUAUAGUCAUUGUUAUAUUAUUAUUAAAAGACUUUUAUAUUGAAUAGAAUUUUAUUAUUAAAGACCUCAAUAUUCAUUAGGACACUGAAAGACUUCUGUAUUGAUUAGAAUUUUAUUAUUAAAAACUUCAAUAUUUAUUAGGACAAUGUAAUAUAAAUUUUUUAUUUAAUAACAACAAUCAUUAUAGAAUUAUGAAAAGAUUUUCAUAUUAUUAAGAUUUUAUACUUAUUAUUAUACAUUUUUAGGAUUUUAUAAUUAUUAUUAUACAAUUAUGAAAAGACUUCUAUAUUGAUUCGGAUUUUAUUAAUAAAAAUUUCAAUAUUGGUUAAGAUUAUUAUACUAUUAUAAAAAGACUUCUAUGGUGUUUAGGAUAUUGUAAUAUAACAUUUAUCAUUUAGGAUUCUAUAAUUAUUAUUAUACAAUUAUGAAAAGACUUCUAUAUUGAUUCGGAUUUUAUAAAUAAAAAUUUCAAUAUUGGUUAAGAUUAUUAUACUACUACAUAAAAAGACUUCUAUGGUGUUUAGGAUUUUGUAAUAUAACAUUUAUCCUAUUCGCACAGUUAAAUCUCGCUAACAAUUUAACUUAUGAAACAGUUCUAUAAAAUUCAUAUAAAAAAUUGGCUAUCAUCAUAUUAAUUUUUAUUUAACAAUUAUUACUAUUAUCAAAAAAAACUUCUAUAUUUGACAGGAUUUUUUAUUAUAACAAUUAUCUUACUAAUAAAAAUAUGUUACCAACAAAAUUAUUUGUUUUAAUUUUUUAAAACUCAAAUAAUUUAAUAUACGUAACAACUCUAUAAAUCUUUUAUCAUACUUCAGAGUUCAAAUAAAUAGGGAGCGAGUUCUAUAAUAUAAUUAAAAAAGACAUUAUUAUUCUAAUAAAUAACAAAUUUUAAAAUUUUAUUUAAACCCAAAUAAGCGAAACCACUUUUCGGUGGAACAUCGGUACCAAAAGUACCAAAAUUUGGUCACUUUCAUAUUGAUUAGGAUUUUAAUUACGAAACAAAUUUAUAAAACUUCUAUCGUAUUUCAGAAUUAAAAUAAACAAGAUUCAAUAUUGAUACCAAAGUACCAAAAAAAAUGGUCAUAUAUUUUUUAAUUGAUAAUAAUUAUUAUCAUUCAAUGUUUUCCAGAAGAUUGCGAUAAAGACGAAUAAGGCGGUGGUAACACUAACUUGACAAAUGGAAACUUAAAAAAAUGAAGUCAUUGUCCAUAUUGCAACAUAUAUAAUAGAAGAACCGAAACUCUGGACAUACGUCAAAUAUUCAUUUUAAUUUUUAAAACUCAUACACUUUAAUUUACGAAACAAAUCUAUAAAAUUCUAUCAUAUAUCAGAAUUAAAAUAAACAAGAUUCGAUAUUGAUACCAAAGUACCAAGAAACUUGGUCAUUUAUUUUUUAAUAAUAAUUAUUAUUAUCAUUCAGUGUUUAUUAGAAGAUUGCGAUAAAGACGAAUAAGACGGUGGUAACACUGACUUGACAAAUGGAAACUUAAAAAAAAAAUGAAGUCAUUGUCCAUAUUGCCACAUAUAAUAAAAGAACCGAAACUCUAGACAUACGUCAAAUAUUCGUUUUAAUAUUUAAAACUCAUACAAUUUAAUUUACGAAACAAAUCUAUAAAAUUUCAAUCAUAUUUCAGAAUUAAAAUAAACAAGAUUCGAUAUUGAUACCAAAGUACCAAAAAACUUGGUCAUUUAUUUUUCAAUAAUAAUAAUUAUUAUCAUUUAGUGUUUUUCAGAAGAUUGCGAUAAAGACGAAUUAGGCGGUGGCAACACUGACUUGACAAAUAGAAACUCAAAGAAAAUGAAGUCAUUAUCCAUAUUGCAACAUAUAAUAAAAUAAUCGAAACUCUAGACAUACGUCAAGAUAUUUGAUAUCAAAUCAUUAUUCUACUUAUGAGUUAUAUUUUAGAACAUAUAUAAUGUUUAGUGAUUUAUAAUAUAAUUGUUUUAUCUUUUAAUCGCAACGAUUAUAUUGUAGAACAUAACCUGCAAAUUGUCAGAUGUUUACAAAUAUUAUAGAUUAAAAAAAUUAAAAUUGAAACGAGUAGAGUAUUUUUAAAUAAUUGUGGACAACAAUACUCUUAUCUUGUGGACUCCAUAGAUUAGGGACCCAUAUUAUUAUGACAUAAAUUUAAAGUAUGAUCAAAUUUUAAUAAUUAGAAAAUCUUAUAUUAAAUAACAAUAAUUUAAAUAUCAUUUAAAAAUAAUAAUUUAAAUAGGUAUAAUAAAAAUAUAAUAAUAUAAUUAAAAAAGACAUUAUUAUUCUAAUAAAUAACAAAUUUUUAAAAUUUUAUUUAAACCCGUGCUUGGCACGGGCUAUCAACUAGUAAGUAAUAAUAGUGAAAAAACAUAAUUAAUUAAUUAUAAUUUUCUGUAAAGCUUUUUUUUUAUUAGUAAAAUAUUGUCUAUUAUAAUAAAAUUAAUUAGUUCUUACUAAAAAUUCAUAAAAGAACCUUUUUAAGUUUCUAUAUCUCGCCAAAUUUUUAGAAGAUUUAUUUUUUGGAUAAAAGUCAGAAGUAUCAAAAUUUGACAAUUUAUCUUUUCCAUAAAAAACUAUGAUUAAUUCACAUAAAAAAAUAAAAGAAAUUCCAAGCAAACGUGAUAGGGUCGUCAUCCAAUUAAUUUAAACAAAAGCAUUGUAUGAUCUAAUAUGACUGUUAUAGAAGCUGUCUAUUCUAUCCGGUGCGAUAGGUUCACAGUUAAUUCAAUUUCGGAUUUUGUUACAACUUACCAUCUCUAAACUAGGAAAGCAUCUCUACAUUUUCUGCAAGUUCAUAUACACAUUUGUUAUUAAAAUUACAAACUCAAUCUCAUAAUUUCAUCACCAAAUGGAUGUGUAUUUUGAGACCCGAAUGGGGAAACCAUUUUGCAUUGAAAUCGGCUACUUCGAUACUGUUCUUGAAAUCAAAGAAAAAAUCCAGAAAUAUCAAGGCAUUCCAGUCUCUAAACAGACCCUGAUUUUCAAGGGCCAGUAUCUUGAAGAUGGACGUGACGUGGAAUAUUGUGAAAUUUUUCAUAAUUCUCGAAUCCAGCUCAUGUUGACACCAGACGCUACUGUGAAGCUCGAGGACUCCCCUGCAAAGACGUCGAAAAUGCAGGUUCUGGUACGGAUGGCCUCGUCGAAAAAACAAGUGGAGGUGGACGUGGAGGACAGUAUUAUGCAGUUGAAGGAGAAAAUUUUGGAAGUAGGAGGUGCGGCUCUGAACGGGAGAGAUUUUUCGGUUUUUUUGCAUGGGAAUGAGGUGUAUGAGAAUAAGUUCGUACGAGACUACGAAAUUAGUGAUAAUUCGGAGAUUGAUGUUUUGGUUAAGCCUUUGCAGCAUAGUAGUGUGACCACACUGGCACCUGCAACAUCUGGGGGCGCUAAUUCUAAUUCUAAUUUUAAUUCAAAGAAAUUGAAGAUUUUUGUUUCGACGCAGUGUGGCACGAAUAAAAUUCCGGUGGAGAUCAAUGCGUCUGAUAUCGUGGAUGAGCUGAGGAGGGAGCUCAGGAGGCUACAAGAGGUCCUUCAUUUUAGUCUUCCUCCGGAGGGAUAUUUUUUUAUUUACAAACAGAAUGUGAUGGAGGAUGAUAGAUCUUUCAGAUGGCACCAUGUUUGUAAUGGGGACAUGAUCGAAAUCUUCAAUGGGAGUGUUACUGGUGGAUCAUCUUGAGGUCAUUUAAGUAGGUAAUAUUGGUUAGUGUUUGUUCUAGCGUACUCAGAUCUUUCAGAAAUAAGAGUUGGUUUGAGAUCUCUGUGAAAAUUAAGAAUGUGACUAGUUAAUUUUAUUUUUUAAUUUCAGUUAGAUAUGGUGAACUUGGUUUUUAGUUCUGUUAAAUUUAAAAUAUUUAUCGAAUUUGUCUUGUUUGAUGUAACAUAUAUGUUCUUGUUAAUGAUUUUGCAAAACUCGAGUACACUAUCCAAAAUUUGAGUAUAUACUCGAUCUCAAUUUACAUGUCCCUCUCGGUUGGACGUUAAAAAUGGAUAAACCGUAAACGCCAUCAGGUAUGGAAUGGUCCUCCUCGAGACCUCGACCCCAUGAGAAUUUGAGAGAUUACAAGAAGUUCCAACCACCUAAAUCAGGAAUUUUAUCCCAUGCAUAAGUUAAUUAUAUCUGCUUUGGUAUUAGUACUUUCGAAUCGUGCAGCCAAUUUGAGACUGUGAACCCGGAUACUCUGUAGUCGACAGCAUAGCUUAUAUUUCAUUUUGCAAGAUGCUAGGAGAUUUGCAGAAUAAUUGUUUAGGUAAUUAGGAUGGAAUCAUGGAACAGAAUAAAAAUAGAGAAGAGCUUGGAUUUCUUUAAUAGGGAGAAAGAAGAGGAAGGAGCUAGAAACUGAGAAUUACAGGAAUAAAACUUCAAAUAUUUAAAAAUUAAAACUUUUACUGUGUUUUAAAUUUAUUCUCACUCUCUAGUGUGCAUUAAACCUUCUAGUAACAGAGUGAAUAAUAAUUAACUUAACUAAAAGUUAAUCAUUGGAUGUAAAAUUUUCAAAAUUUAAAAUAUCCAUUUACUUGAAAAUCAAAUAUCAUUUAAAAGAGUUAUAAAUCGUGAUUGCUGUUACAAAAUCGCUUCUGUUAAUAAAAUCUAAGAUUACUAUGCAUAAAUAAUUCAAAAUUAUUAAUGAUGUCAAUAAAUAAUAAAAUGUCAUUAAUAUGAUUACAGUUACAAAAUCAUAGCUAUUAAUUAUAUGUUAUUUUCUAUUUUAGUAUUGUUCAUUACAAGGUUUCAAUAUUUUCCAAUAUUCUUAUGAUUAAUAUCCAUGAUCCUAGCUUUCCAUGAUCAUCUAUUUAUAGGUUACAUCCCUCAUUGUUCAAGUCAGAUACUCACUUACAACACAUUUUAUUCUGCAGUGACCAUCAUCUAGAAUAAUGACACAAGAACAAGUUUUUCCUAGUCCAGAAACAACAUCAUUGAGUGAAAAGCCAAAGAACCAUAGGAUUUUUAUCAUAGCUCAACUCAUUCUUAGAGCUUUGGUUCCUUUGUUUACUCUAGCUGCAAUCAUUAGAACAAUCACAAGUGCCCAAAUAACUAUGGUACCAGAUGGUGGUAGUUUUGGUGCCCGAUACUCAUACUCAUCUGCACUAAGGUAAUCUGCUUCGUUUUCUUUAUUCGAAACUAAUCAUGUUGCCAAAGAGAUGAAAAAUAUGUGUUUUUGUCUUGCAGGUACAUGGUAAUAGCCGAUAUUGUAGUAGGCGUUUCUUGUUUCCUUUCGCUGAUACUGGUGUUUGUGUGUUUCAUAUAUCCAAAAUGGAACAUCAGAAUCAAAAAUUAUGUCUACAUAUUCUUGCAUGAUCUGGUAAGCACCAAUACCCAGCUAGCCAAUUUGGUUUAAGUGGUUUUUUUAGACCAAAUAAUUCUAUUACUUGACGAGAAAUAUCAUCACAUUGUCAAUUUAACAGGUUUUGUUGCUCCUAAUAACUUCGGCAACUUCAGCCGCAAGUUCUAUUGGAAUGUUAGCUCUUCAUGGCGAAUCAAAGAUAGGAUGGGUAGCCAUUUGUAUCAGUUAUCCAAAGUUUUGUCACAGAAUCAUAUUGGGAGUUGUAUUGUCAUACAUGGCUCUUUCUUGCUUGUUCAUUCUCACGAUCUUGGGGCUUUUAACCAUUCAUCUUCCUUCCCUCUUUGAGUGAACAAUGAAGGUCCUAUGAGAUUUGAAAUAAUUUCUAGAAUAUAUAGAAAGGCAACAAUAAAAUUUCCGAGUCAAUGUGUAACAAUUUCCUUUCUUUCUAGAUGUAUAUACUCUAUGUCAUAGUUGAUUUCAUAGUUUUGAAAAUUUAACCUAUCAAUAAUUUGUAAUGGAGUUUCUUAUCAUGGAAUGUUUGAGUAGUUUCUAAUAAUUUAUGGUUUACAAAAGAGUGAUGAAUUUGACUCUGCAAAUUGGCAAUCUUUGGGUUUGAGUGUCAACUAGAAAACUCAUGCAACAUUUGUAAUCCCCUGCAACUUGAGUCUACUCAGAGAAGACAAUAUAAGAUAUAUCCAGAAGAAUUGAUGCCCUCACUUUUCAUGCUCCAGUGUGCAGCUGAACAUCUAAGACUUUCUUAAUGCAGCCCAGGAAUCAUGUUGUUGAGAUUCUUUAUUGCGGGGGCCUGCGCAUAAAGAACAAUUAUAUUGAAUUCUUAAAACUACGAUGACUUGAGGGAAGUUUUUAUGUGAUAUUAUAGUUUUUAUAAGUCUAAAAAUAGAUGUAAAAAAAUUCACUUGCCAAAAUAACACAAACACGUGAAACCUGGUUAUAAGAACAGCAAGGUGAAAGUUCAUAAAGUAGCCUUCUUGUGACAUCUUAGCAACAACAACAGAAUUUUGAUGGGGUCAUGAUGGUUCUGUGUCCUUGUUGAAGGUGCAUCAGACCGUCGUAGUUGCAAUUUGCAGCCAUGAAAAAAAAGUUGCAUGAAGUAUUAAACUUCAGACACAAAACACAUAUAUAAGAGUACUUCAGAAUAUAGUACCAGCUUAGUGAUGCUCCUUUGCUCCAAGGUGUUUUUAUUUGAUGAACAACAUAAACUCCUUUCAUGUAUGCUUGAUAGUGGUUUCCUGUCGAUUAGCUGCAAUGAGCCUGACGAAUGUAUAUCUGGCAACAUAUACUCCACAGUGUUUAUGUUUAUACAUUUUGGAAGUCGGCUCAUAUUUACAAAAUAGACUUCUUCAUGGAAUUUAAGAGCUUCACAGCAUAUAUGUGAUUCUGAAGAAUGUUUAUUCUGACCUUUUUUUAGAAGGGGGAUAGGUAUAACUGAUAUUGUUCUGCACCAAGCAAUUCAAAUUAAUGAUACUGACCACCAUUUGUGUAGAGCUACUUUUGAAUUUAUGAACUUUUGACAGACAAUGCCCAAGCGACUCAUGGAGGAAAUUACAGAGCUGUUUAAGAAUCAGCGGCAUACAAACACAACAGGAAACAACACAGUACCAGGAACAGAGGACUUGCCAACCUACUACACAAAGGCAAAUUGAAUGUCACCACUAAAAUGGAUGGUGCCAUACUUCUUGCUUCUUUUCCCCUCUAACGACACAAAUUUUUAGUAUUUUGGCUUUUUUAAUGAUAUAAAGUUAAAUGUAUUGGAGAUUGGCUCUGAUGACACUCGGACUAUUGUUAUUUUAACCACGGAUACUCCAACCAGGAAAUUUGCUACCAGACUCUAACUUUCUAACAAAGAUAAGUCCAUUUCAAACACUGCAAUCUCUGAUGUUGGGAAGUUUCUUUCUUAUUGGAGCGCAUUUAGCAAGAAAAGACAACACAUCCUAGUAGAGGGCCGGAUAAGUAACUAUAGCCAGAAAUUUUAAUCAUCUUCCAACAGAUCUACUUUUUCUGAGCAUUAAUGAAUCAGUCAAUCAGUUCGCGGGACAGCUUGCUAUCACAUAUAAAUGAACUUAAAAGCUGUUUCUGUGUGCCUCCUAAUUCUGUGUUAACCAACCCAAAUUAGCUGAGUUUCACACAUGUUUAAAGUCUCCUGAUUUCGGUUUCUCCGUUUUAAGGUAGAACUUGAUCAUGAUUUUUUUAAGCACACACUUGUGUAGUCUUUUUUUUUUUCUUUUCUCUUGAGUUUUCACCUCCAGUUUCUUCAUGUUUCCUUAAAAUGUUCUUUAUUUCAUGUUAUACAUAUACUAGGAUUGUUGAUUAGAAUGGCCACCUAUAACCUUGUUCCUUUACAACGUCUGAAUCUCCGCAGAAACAUUUUCUGCAUUCUGACGCCAUUAACACUCACAGGCAUUAAGCAGUACACAAAUGCCAAAUAUCAGUGAACUUCACAAAUAAACGUUUUACUAGCUCCGGCUAUUAGACCAAUCGACAAACUCAGUAACUUAAUCGAAAUUCUCCACAAGUACUUCAGCACACAUUUAGGCUCUCACUUUCCAAAAGUGGCUACACUUGUCCAGAUAAUUUACGUGUUCAUUUUGGCGGAUAGACUUGCAGGACACUUUCAACAGUUAACCAAGCUGCAUUGCAGUUCCAUGGCGUAUUAUUCAGUUCCUCCGAGGAACAGGUAUGCGAGAUCAUUUCCGGAAAUAGAAACCUUUAAGAUUUAAGGUUAUCGCCUGUUUCCCAUUCGAGUUUAGGAAAGUUUCCGAGGGCAAAUUUUCGAUGCAGAAGUGCAGUGCCGAUAGCUUAUCUAGCAAGAGCCACUGAAAGUUCCCUCCAAUUCUUUAAUAAUUUAUCAUACAAAAUUUUAGAGAAUUAAAUUUUAUCCCGAUAAAAUUUAAAAAUAUAUAGAUAUUUUUUGAAAAUUUGUUUGUCGCUCGUGUGGACUCGUAUAGUUGAUUGUUGUGACUUGUGAGUCUUGUGACAGUGUCUUAGCUGAACGCUCCUGAUUACAGAUUAGAAAUGCAGAAAAGUAUGAUGUGUAAAGAAAAUAAAGGUAGCAUGAAUCACAUUAUCUAUGAGGCCCAUUUACUUGAUGAAUCUAGUACAAAUCCCUAAAUGUGUUUUUCUCGCUGGGACCCAUCUGUACCUAAGUUGAUGUUUUUUGUUUUGUGUAAUAAGGAGAAUAUUACAAAGUAUUAGAGUAAUCAUAAUUGGUUAGUUGCCAAUUUAUCAAUCACACAUAUUAACGUAAGAAGUUAAAAAAUUCAUAGAUUACGCAAAGUAGUAGACUAUGUUAUAAUUAACAACUGAUGAUUAUCACUUCAUCAUUACAUAUCAUGUAUUGUAUGGAUAAUAAUACGGUUUUUACGGUUUUUCUAGUGUGCUUAUGACAUAUGUUAAGCGUCAAAUUUUGUAAGUUUGGGUUGGGAGAUUUUGAUUGUUCUUAUAUCGUAACAAUCAUACUAAUCAAAAUCCUUUAAACAUAUUAAAUUUUACACUUAGCAUGUGCCAUUAGACAAACUCAUAAUAAUAUAACAGAUACUUCCUCUAUUUUGAUUUGACAAGCGUUUUAAAAUUCUGAUCAUUAUUUUCAUAAUAAUAAUUCGCAAUUUUCAAUACCAAACACUAGUUAUCGUUCUGGUCCUAUUUAAUGUUUAAUUUCAUUUUAAUUUUGAUAAUUAUAUAAUGAUUGUUGUGUUGAACUACACAUGACAUAAAAGAUGAUUUUUUCGAUAUAAAUUAUAAUUCAUCUGAAAAAUUAUUUCUCGUUAAUAUAAAAAUCUUAACCGAUUGUCAAAUCAAGAUAAAGGGAAUAAAAUAUUAAAAAUUUGUAAUAGGUGUCAUUUUUAAAAAAUAUUAUAUAUCUUAUAUAAUUUAAUUAUUAACAGAUAUAAUCAAACGUAUUUAUUUAAAUGAGUCUACUUACUUAGAGCAAGUCCAACAAUGUCCUAGUUAGAGCCCCAAAUAUAAUAUAAAAUAUGAUGUCCUAGUGAUUUAGGACAGGGUUCCGUAAAUUCAACUCCAACAAUGUGCCUUAUUUUCAAUAUAUGUUUAAUAUUUUAUUAUUAAAGUCUUCCUUUCAUCAUCAAAACACAAUAUAAAGUAGAGAGAGAAAGAGGGUGGAUAUAAAAUUUUAUAUUAAAAUAUUGGAUAGAGCAAGGAGAGAGGUGCCCUAUUAAUAGGGCUUGAAGAGAUUGUCCUAGUGAUAUAAGGCAUCACUAGGACACUCUUGAAUCAACAUUUUUCAUCAAGUGCCUUAAAUUAUAACUUAAGACAAGUUAUAGGGCUUCUCUUGGACUUGCUCUUACAUACUUAUUUCUUUUCUUCAUGAUGUCUACGAUAUAAAUCCUCCUCUUAGAAAAAUAAUAUUACAUUUAAUUAUAAUAUAAUUAUCAUUAAAAUAUUUGGUUUUGGGCAAUAUGAGGGUAAAUUUGUUAAUUCCUAUUAUACGAUUAUUUCCCACAUUUUUAUGCGAGAUAAAUAUGUAUUACAUAUAUAAAUAAAAAUAUCUCGAUCACACUUAUUCAUCAUAUUAUUACAUUUUAAAAAAUCAUAAAAUUUAAAAUAUGACGUAUAAUUGUUUUCUUGAUAUCUCAUCAUCAAUCUUCGUAUUUUCAAAAAACUUAUAUCAGGAUUUACCGACACAUAUCUUCUCCAUUUUUUUCCGAAAUAAAGAUAAUUAAUUCUUACAUUAAAUGUUAAAUCAAUGUGCAACAAAAUGUGAAGAGAGCGAAGAAUUCUAGUUUCUUAAAAACCGGAAAACCUGGAGGCACCAAAAGCUCACAAAACCAUCUCCACCAAUCCCACCUUCCCCGACAUAUACAUACACCUAUACACACAAAUCAAUCGUACGGACACAACAAAUUUAAUCUCCUCUCCCUUCUCCUAUGGCGGUGGAGAUUUCGACGCCGAUGGUAGAGUUGACCGCAACGACCAUCGACAUUGUAUUAGCACUCGCUUCCUUCAUUCUCCUCCUCUUCGUCCUCGUUCUCUUCUUCUUUCUCCUCUUCUUCUUUUGUAAGCCUUGGCGUCUCUUCUCUUCUCGCUUCUUUCAUCGCUCUUCCACUCGUGCAGCUCCUUCUCGCGCGAUCAAGGUCCUAUACUUACAUCUAUUUUGUAUCUAUACUUUGUUGCCAAUCAGUUAUGACAUGAAACUUUUAAUUGGUCCGAUAUGUGAUUUUGAUUGAUAUUACUGGUUAUGCCUGAUGUUAUUGUGUGUUUGAUUUGUCGGAUUAGGUUUUGUGAUUGAUCGAGUUUUUGAAUUUUUAAGAAUGGAGAACUGGCAAUUAAUUAUGUCAGUUAAAAUGUCAUAAUAAAUGUAUGACUAUACUCUGCGGAUGCUAUAUAGAAAUGAUUUAUUAAGAAAGUGCCACUUGUUCAGCUAAUUGCUGAGUUUAUUAAAGUGGCUAGAUAUAUGUUUAUUAUUGGAUUGUAUUUAAUGAGUUUUGGAAUCUGUAAGAGCUAAGUGCUUACUGUGCGCAACUUUUAAUUGGAAUAUAUAAUCUGUAUUAUCUGGAAGAUCGAUUUGUGAUAAUUGUGCAAUUUUUUAUGAUUUGUAUGUGACGUUGUAGACUUGCGGUGUGGUUUGUCAAUAAUAUUGAUUAUGGUUUACUGUUUUGAAGAUGUAUAACUGAUUUAUGCCUUGUGAUAGGCUGAGGAUUUAGAGAGACCACUUGUAUCAGAAGAUUUAGACCGUAACAGUGAGGUAGCUAGGAGUUAUGACCUAGAGGGGGCAUCUACUCAGAUUGAAGGGCAUUUUAGCUCGCCACGAACCCAAGGGCUUGCUUUUAAACACAGGCCGCCCUCACCUCAGCAUUCUCACAGUAUGUAAUUCUAUUAUUCGUUGUUGUUGUUUUUGCUGUCUUGCCUUUUAUUACCUAGAGUCAUGGUAUAUAGUACAAUCUCUUAGUCAUAAAUGCCUGAUCAGUACUGAAGCAUUCUUUAUUUUACACUUUUUCAGGUGACAGCUUAAUUCUGGACAUACCGGAAGAUACUUCAGUUGGUCAGACUCUAAAGCGUCCUUCCCUGACAAACAUAUCUGGUGAUCUGCAGAAAUUAGCAGAAGAUUUAAGCCAUGACUCAGAGUUUGUUUCGGAAGAUAAACCUAAUAAGUCUGUCCCGAAAUCUACUUUGGAUCAAAGUAAGUCCUGCUUCCCUCACUUCUAUAUCAAUUCGUUUUGUUUGUCAUCAAAAUAUAUUGAUAUUGUAACAACUAUUCAUACCUAAAGGGAAUAGAAGAAAAUGUAGUAAAUUAUGCACAUUGUGUGUCAUCAAGUAGAUAUAUGUGUGGUAUGAUAUGCCUGUGUUCUGUUAAUUGGUGGAAGAGGUAAACUCGUCAUCAUAUUUUUUCUGUUAGAAGUGCAGGAAGCAUUCUAAUGUUGGAGGUUAUAUCUGGUCCUUCACGUGGUCUCCGUUAUUCCACACAUUCAACAAAUAAAUCUGGGCUUCCGCUUACUCUUGGAAGAGUUUCUCCAAGUGCUUUGUUACUGAAAGAUUCUGAAGUUUCAGGAAAGCAUGCGAUGAUAAACUGGAAUUCAAAUGUAAUUUUCUUAAAUGCUACACCAUUUAAUAUAAGAAUGAUGUACUUUGUCUGUAGAAUGACUAUUUUCUUUUUAAUUCUGCAUAUGUUUGCAGAAGUUAAAAUGGGAGUUGGUUGACAUGGGUAGUUUGAACGGAACGUUAUUAAACUCCCAGUCUAUAAACCAUGCUAAUUCUGGGAGUAGAAAGUGGGGUGACCCUACUGAGCUUGCAAGUGGAGAUAUUUUAACUCUUGGGACUACUUCAAAGAUAUUGGUAAGUGUUUCCUCGCGUUGUUUUUGCUCUUUGUGCUGAACUGAAAUUUUAAUGAAAUGGUAUAUAAUAUUAUUGCGCAAGGGGAUAAAACUUUGUGGGUAGUUGGGUUGUGUGAAUUAUCAUGUACAUAAGUUCCUUGGAUUUGGAAUGACAUUUGCUAGCUGUAUUUCCUUAAUAUCCCAAUUGUGAGAAUUACUUUUUUAUCAUUCAGUUGGAAUCAUUUUAAUUCUUGUAGUACUCAUAAAAGUAAAUGUAUAUACCCUAAUCUUGUUGUAGUAGAAAGCUUAAAGAUCUUAUUUGGGUUGAGGAGAAAACUCUAUUCUUACAUGCAAAUGAGAAAUCGUUAUUGAUUUAGCCACCUCCGUGGGAGUAGAGCUAUUGAUUCCAAUGAACUUGUAAUAAUAUGUUAAGUAUGUUUACAUAAUAUGAACACUUAAACUUUAUACUUUGUCCCCACUGAAUUAUUUAAUGUAUUGAGAUGUUUUUUUAAAAAUCUAAUUUCAGGCUGCGCCAAUAAACAUUAUUCUAAGUACCAUAAUCAGACUAUGCAAUUAUUAUUUGAAUUUUGAUGUUUUUGAUCCAAGAUUAAAUUGUCUAGUGUCUAUUUCAUGUCCAAUAUCUAGUUUGCGAUAUGAAUACUUAAGGUAUCAAUGUCAACUAACAGUCAGGUGGUAUGGAAUUUGACCUUGAAACAGUGGAUGUGCUACGAUAACUGAUUUUGUAGUCUAUUUUUACAUCUUUGUCCUUGAAAUUUUGCAGGUUCAGAUAACAUCUCAAACUGAGCAGAUUCCUUUUGGAGUUGGUGUAGCAUCGGAUCCCAUGUCUUUGCGUAGAGGAGGAAAAAAGCUGCCUAUGGAAGAUGUUAGCUAUUACCAGUGGCCUCUUCUUGGGAUUGAUAAGGUGUAGUAACAUAUAGAACCUUUUGUCGUUGAAAUAUCUGUUAUAAAACAAGCCUAAUUUCUUUGUUGAUGAUAACGCAGUUUGGUCUGUUUGGCAUUUGUGAUGGACAUGGCGGAGCAGCAGCAGCUAUUUCUGCUAGCAAGUUAGUAUUACAUUUUCCUUUUUGGCGAUUUUACUUUGGCACAAUUAACAAAGUUUUGACAAUGCAUGUUUGGCCGCUGAAAAACAUUCUUUUUUGUUGUGAUCUUUCUUAUAUUAAUUUUAUACACAUUGCAAAUUCAGCACCAGCUGCCUAGCUUAUGUGGGCAGCAAAGUGCUAAGCUCCCAGACUGGUUUCAUUAGCUUUGUUUCUUGGCCAUGUUUUGAGUUGUGACAUUAUUAAUGAUAACAUUUGAGUGCAUACUUCCUGAUCACUUCUAUCAGCUGGCAAGUGAGGAAAAACUCUGUAGUAUCUUCCACCAUGCGGCUAAACUGACUUUAGAUAAAAUUAUAUACAGAUUAUUGCGAGAGAUAGUUGGUGAUAUCCUAGCAGACUCAGUUAAAAGAAAAAAGAUCUUAACAAAGUGUGAUGCAUCAGAUGUGCUGCGAGAAGCAUUUACUCAAACCGAAGCAUGCAUGGACCACUACUAUGAGGUUUUUCUCUCAUUGGCCUUGACUUAAUUUGUUAUUUUUUUUUCUUGAUUUAGUUGACAUAUGGAUUCUCCUAAUGGCCUUUCUUUAUGGUAAUUGCACUUAUUCCUCUUUUUUCAGUUAUGUUCAUAAUAUACCACACCAAACCUGACCAGUAUUAUAGUCAACUUUUCUCCUAAAAGGUCAAGGUGUUGGGAGGACUUAAUAUGAUGUCCUAUUAUGUUUAAGACUCCCUCACACUUGAAAGCCCGUUUUUGGGUCAGGAGUCGGUCAGUAGGAGCCCUUUUUGGGAUGAUAAAUGUCAUAAUGUGAUGCCUAAAUUAAUUAUGAGAAUAGUUUCUUUAAGAGGGAAUCGAGUGCUCUGAUGCCAUGUUAAGUUACCAACACUCCAACAGUUUGACUAGAUUGCGAGGAGGGCUUAUUAGGAUCCCACAUUAUAUUUAGGAAUUAUUUAUGGGAGGUUAAGAUGUACACAAAUUCUACCGCUACUUUAAGGAGUACAAUUGUUUGGAUCCGUGAAGUACCUUGUCAAAAAAAUUGGGUACUUAAGAAACAUGAUGAAAAACUGAAGAAAAACUAGCUAAAAAACAUGCAAAUAUUACUACAUAUUGAAUGUUGAUUGAAGGUACAAGAAGCCUCCUUAUGCAAAGGACAACAUACUUAUGCAAAAGACAACAUAAACACAAGUAUCUGUGCAAGAUGUGACACUACGUGUACAAAAAUUUGGGGGUGCUAAAAAGUACUCCCUCCGUCCCCUCCAAUUCUUAUCGUUUGGAGGGGACUCCUCGACACGCAUUUUAAGGCUCAUGAAAAAUAUGGUUCUAUAACAUAUUUUUAAAAUUUUCUUUUUCCGAAUAAAAGUUUAAUGUUUAAAUUUUUAUUCAGAAAAAGAAAAUUUUAAAAAUACGUUAUGAAACUAUAUUAUUUAUGAGCCUUAAAUUGCGUGCCGAGUACUCCAUUUCAAAUGAUAAGAAUUGGAUGGGACAGAGGGAGUAUAUUUUUCUUAUCAAAAUUAUACUUUUUUUUGCUAAUAAAUUAUUCAGUAUGGCUGUAUAUACCUGUGUCAUUUUCUUAAGUCUGUAAAAAAUUUGUUAUUUCCAUGAGAGUCAGUUUGUCCUAAAUAAAAAUGCUUGUGGUUAAAUUCACAAAAUUCACAUGCUGCAUUAUCUCAUUCUUAUCUGGGGUGCAGUUGUGCCCUAGAUUGCUGUUUAAAAUGAUAUUCUGGUAUGUCAUCCUUUUUAAUCUUACAUCUAUAGUAAACUAAUUGUGUCUUCAGGGUUGUACUGCAACAAUGCUUAUGGUGUGGACUGACGAUCAUGAAAAUUACUUUGUGCAAUGUGCAAAUGUUGGAGACUCUGCUUGUUUUAUUAAGUAUGUACUACGUAGCCACUUGAUAAUAUAUGUUUAUCAAAUAUUGGAUCUUGUUAAAAUCCAGAGUAUCAGAUAUCAAUUAAUAUUGAUGAAAGUUUUACUGCUCAAUUUCUCUCUUGGACAGUAUUGAUGACAAGCAUAUGAAGAUGACAGAGGACCACAGGAUAACUAGUAUUUCUGAGAGACAACGCAUGCAAGCAACAGGAGAGCCUCUGAAAGAUGGGGAAACAAGAUUAUGUGGUGAUAACCUUUUUACCUUGACUUAUUACUUACCCUAUUCUGUAAACUUGAACAAACAACUAACAUGUUUUCUGUGAAUUCUUUCAGGUCUGAAUCUUGCUCGGAUGCUAGGAGACAAAUUUCUGAAGCAGCAGGAAGCUCGCUUCAGUUCAGAACCUUAUAUUAGUCAAGUCGCAUACAUAAAUCAAGCAAGCAGUGCUUUUGUAGUAUUAGCAAGGUGAUUUUUAACCCAUUGAUUUCUCCUCACUCAUUGCUUGGCAUAUGCUAUUGUCCCUUUGUUUUGGAAUUGAGUCACUUACAGAAAUAUCCUAUACUUAAUGUCUGAGGUUUGCACUUUGUUGGAGCUCUGAUGUGGUUUCUCAUAAUGUUAAAGUUAGGAAUUUGAAACUAAGUGAAUUACCCUUAAAGAUGAAAUAUUGAAUUUUAUUUUGUCUAUGUAACAUAUGUAAAUGCCAAUUGGCAUGUUUUAUACUGAUGGAAACUGAAUAUUGUUUCUAAAGCAUUCAUGCUUACCUGUUCAUCUAUCAUUGUUUAGUUUUAUUUACGCUGUGUGUGCUUUCUUUUCUUGACACCAUGUUUUUUGGCUUUCUGAGCAGUGAUGGUUUUUGGGAUGUUGUGAACUCCAGAAAGGCAUUUCAGCUUGUUCAUGAGGUACUUUAUCUCUUAGUUGAUUGAUUUGCUAAAUCUUAUAACUUUUUUGAUGUCUCGGAAAUUAUUACCUGCCACCCAAGUCCUAAAAAAUCUGGCAUCUUAAAUUUUCACAGGCAAGAGACAGAAGUGCCAAACAUGGAGAGAAUACUGCAGAAAAGGUUGCUAAUAUAUUGUUGGCAGAGGCUAGAACACAGCGUACAAAGGAUAAUACAUCUAUAAUAUAUUUAGAGUUUGGUAGCAGCAAUAUAGACAGUUUUCCAAAAUCAUGAUUCUCGGAGUAUUUAAAAGUUCUGUAAUUACAAAAUUUUCAGUUAGCUAUAUAUUAGUGUCAUAGUGUUAGUCUUUUUCCAACUAGUAAUACAAAAGAACAUAAAAAUCUUGAUCAAAGUUUACAUAUUUCUUACAAUGAGUAAAGUAUAAUCAGUGUAGACUGUAACUUUUGGGGGGUUUUGGAAAUACAAGAGCAAGUUCAGGAACUUUCCUAAAUGAGCUCCUAAAAGCAAGUCCAACAGUGUCCUAACAAGUGUCCUAUAUAUAUAAUAAAAAAUAAUGUCCUAGUGAUUUAGAACAUCAUUUUAAAGAUAACUCAAUGCCUUAUUAUUGUGCCUUAUUAUUUAAAUAAUAGUAUAUUUGAAUUAUUGUUGGAGGGAAGUGAAAAAGAGAGAGAAGAGAGGCGUGUUUGGAAUGUGAGUAAGCUAAUAUUUCAUUGAUAGAAUUGGUUUAGGGCAUACAUGAUUGUGCCUCAAAAAUAAGGUAUUUGUUAGAUGUCCUAAUGUUUUUAGGCACCACUAGGACAUUGUUGGAGCAUCAUUUUACUUCAAAUGUCUUAAAUUUUGAGUUAGGACAUGAUUUUAGGACACUCUUGGACUUGCUUUAAGCUCAAAUAGGGAUUUCAAUAGUGUCAAAUCACCGGGACAUCCUCAAAUACUACUCGGAGUAGUAUUUACCUUUUGGGAUGUACCAUCAUUUCUAUACAUUUCCAAAAUAGCAACUUUUUUUAAUAUAAAACACUACUACACCCACUACAUUCUCUCAUUAUCUCUAUUUUAUAAUAAUAAAAACACUAUUACACCCACUACCUUCCUCCACUAUCUUAAAUCUAUUAUUAAAAAAUAUAUGGAUCCCACCACUUUACCUACUUUCCAUUUAAUUUUACUCAUUUCUUACACUUUUUCUUGGUCUCCGUGUCCAAUCCCAAUGUAUAUAACUCACUGGGACGGAAGGAGUAGUAAUAUCCUAUUUUUAUAGAUAAUUACUAAGUACUUACUAGUCUUUUUCUUUUCUUGGAAAUGAACAAUUUAUUUUUGUCCCUUUUACACUCUCAGCCCCCACUAUUUUAUUUUAUACUUUCUACGAUUUUUAUCCUUGUUAUUUCUGCUUUACAAGUUCAAAUAUAUAAUUAUAAUAUAGGAUCGCGCUCAAAUAUUAAAUUAUUCAUAUCCUUCUUCAAUUUUAAUGCUUAUGGCUGACCUUCAAAUAUUAAAUCAUCCAUAUCCUUUAAUAAAUUUGUUCUUCAAUUGUUUAGUUAUAAAUUGCAUACUUAAUAGUACAAAAUAUCGUAUUUUCUGUUUGUCUUGUCGUACUGCGCAAGCUUUUUGUUCACAAUUUUUAUCAGUUAUAGUCAUAUACGUAAAACUUGAUAUAAAGCUGCAAAAAUCUAAAAAUAGAACGCACCUUGUAACCGAACACUUGGUUAUGUUUAUCAGGGAGAAUUAUCUGACAAAAAAAGUAAUGUCAUGUUAUAUUUAAAAUAUUUUUGAAUACAUACUAGUUGAUAACCCGUGCCAAGCACGGAUUUAAAUAAAAUUUUAAAAUUUGUUAUUUUUUGAAAGAAUAAUGUCUUUUUUUAAUUAUAUUAUCAUAUUUUUAUCAUAUCUAUUUAAAUUAUUUUUUUAAUGAUAUUUAAAUUAUUAUUAUUUAAUAUAAGACUUUCGAUAUAUUAAAAUUUGAUCCUACUUUAAAUUUAUUUCAUAACGAUAUGGGUACUCUAUCUAUGGAGUCCACAAAAUAAGAGUAUUGGAGUCUAAAAUUAUUUAAAAAUAAUCUACUCGUUUCAAUUUUAAUUUUUUUAGUCUACAAUAUUUGUAAACAUCGGACAAUUUGCAGGUUAUGUUCCACAAUAUAAUCAUUGGAAUCAAAAGAUAAAAUAAUUAUUUUAUAAAUCACUGAACAUUAUAUAUGUUCUAACAUAUAACUCAUAAGUAGAAUAAUGAUCUUAAUGAUUGUUAAUGUUGAAAAAUGUUAAUGAUUAUAUUUGAUAAUUAUAUAUUUAAAACUACUUAAAGAUGGUAAAUUAUAUAUAAAUUUGAAUAAUUAAAGAUAUUAUUUAUGAUUAAACUAAAAGAUUAUGACUGUUACUUAUUACGGCUUAAAUGCGGACUUUAUGAAACUUAACUCUAAUAGUAUGUUUUAUUUUAGUAAAAUUACUAUGUUGUUUGAUGAUUUUUAAAUUGUGAAAAUAAUAUUUAAGAUCAACACAUAUAAGCUCGCUUAUAGCGUCUUUAAUCUUGAACAAAAAUUUAGAAUUUUAAGUCGCAAUUAUUUUAUUCAUUUAAUAGGCAAACAUUAUAUAUAAUUCUAGUUGGAGUUUUUGUAGAUCUAAAAGUUGUUGUAGUUGUUUGAUAAACUAAUAUUGUAGCUUGACAAAAUUAAUUAACUUUUCAAAAGUAAUUUGAUAUCAAAUUUUUUGACGUAUGUCUAGAGUUUCGGUUCUUUUAUUAUAUGUUGCAAUAUGGACAUUGCUUUCAUUUUCUUUAAGUUUCAAUUUGUCAAGUCAGUGUUACCACCGCCUUAUUCGUCUUUAUCGCAAUCUUCUGAAAAACACUUGAAUGAUAAUGAUUAUUAUUAUUAAAAAAUAUAUGACCACAUUUUUUGAAACUUUGAUAUCAAUUGAAUCUUGUAUAUUUUAAUUUUGAAAUAUGAUAGAAAUUUUAUAAAUUUGUUUUGUAAAUUGAAUUGUAUGAGUUUUAAGAAUUAAAAUGAAUAUUUGACGUAUGUCCAGAGUUUCGGUUCUUUUAUUAUAUGUUGCAAUAUGAACAAUGACUUCAUCUUCUUUGAGUUUCUAUUUGUCAAGUCAGUGUUGCCACCGCCUUAUUCGUCUUUAUCGCAAUUUUCAGAAAAAUACUGAAUGAUAAUAAUUAUUAUUUAUUAAAAAAUAUAUAUAUGAUCAGGUUUUUUGGUACUUUAGUAUCAAUAUUGAAUCUUGUUUAUUUAAUUAUGAAAUAUGAUAGAAAUUUUAUAAAUUUAUCGGAAAUUAAAUUGUAUGAUUUUCAAAAAUUAAAACGAAUAAUUUCGUUGACAUUAUUAUUUUAUUGAUAGGAUAUUAUGUUAAUAUCAAUAUAAACUCCUUAUUUAUUUGAACUCUGAAGCAUGCUAAAAGAUUUAUAGAGUUGUUCCGUAUAUUAAAUUGUUUGAGUUUUAAAAAAUUAAAACAAAUAAUUUUGUUGGUAAUAUAUUUUUAUUAGUGAGAUAAUUAUUACAAUACAAAACCCUGUCAAAUAUAGAAUUUUUUUAUAAUAGUAAUAAUUGUUAAAUAAAAAAAUGAUGAUAGCCAAAUUUUGAUAUGAAUUUUAUAGAAUUGUUUCAUAAGUUAAAUUGUUAGCGAUUUAACUGUGCGGAUAGGAUAAAUGUUAUAUCACAAAAUCCUAAACACCAUAGAAGUCUUUUUAUAGUAGUAUAAUAAUCUUAACCAAUAUUGAAAUUUUCAAUAAUAAAAUCCGAAUCAAUAUAGAAGUGUUUCACUGUCAUAAUGAAUAUUGAGGUUUUUAAUUCUGAAAUAUGAUAGAAAUUUUAUAGAUUUGUUUCGUAAAUUAAAUUGUACUUAUGAGUUUUAAAAAUUAAAACGAAUAUUUGACGUAUGUCUAAAGUUUCGGUUCUUUUAUUAUAUGUUAAAAUAUGGACAAUGACUUCAUUUUCUUUGAGUUUCAAUUUGUCAAGUAGUGUUACCACAGCCUUAUUCGUCUUUAUCGCAAUCUUCUGAAAAAUACUGAAUGAUAAUAAUAAUUAUUAUUAAAAAAAUAUAUGACCAGGUUUUUUGGCACUUUAGUAUCAACAUUGAAUCUUGUUUAUUUUAAUUAUGAAAUAUGAUAGAAAUUUUAUAAAUUUAUCGUAAAUUAAAUUGUAUGAUUUUUAAAAAUUAAAACGAAUAAUUCCGUUGACAUUAUUAUUCUAUUGAUAGGAUAUUACAUUAAUAUCAAUAUGAACUCCUUAUUUAUUUGAACUCUGAAGAAUGCUAAAAGAUUUAUAGAGUUGUUCCGUAUAUUAAAUUAUUUGAGUUUUAAAAAUUUAAAACAAAUAAUUUUAUGGGAAAUAUAUUUUUUUAUUAGUGAGAUAAUUGUUAUAAUACAAAAUCCUGUCAAAAUAUAGAAGUUUUUUGAUGAUAGUAAUAAUUGUUAAAUAAAAAAUAAUAUGAUGAUAGCCAAAUUUUGAUAUGAAUUUUAUAGAAUUGUUUCAUAAGUUAAAUUGUUAGCGAUUUAACUGUGCGGAUAGGAUAACUGUUAUAUUACAAAAUUCUAAACACCAUAGAAAUCUUUUUAUAGUAGUAUAAUAAUCUUAACUAAUAUUGAAAUUUUUAAUAAUAAAAUCCGAAUCAAUAUGGAAGUCUUUACAUAAAAUUCUAAUUAAUAUAGAAGUCUUUCGCUAUCCUAAUGAAUAUUGAGGUCUUUAAUAAUAAAAUUUUAUUCAAUAUAUAAGUCUUCUGAUAAUAGUAUAAUAAUGAUUAUAAAAUUAUAAUCAAUAUGAAAGUGAUCAGAUUUUGGUACUAAAAGUACCGAUGUUCCACCGAAACGUGGUUUCGCUUAUUAAUAAAGGGUAUUGAUGUUAAUUUAUACUAUCAGCUGAAAAUUGGACAAAUGUAACUUGAAGCAAACAGAUUCAACCACUUAAAAAAUUAUGUAUAUUUCUAGUUGAUAAAUGUAUAUAGGAAGAGAAGACAUAUUACACAUAUUUAUUUAUUCUAUAAAUGAAGUAAAAAUAAUAAGUAAUAUGUGCGAUAAUUUUCUGAAUAUUUUAUUUCACUGAAAUUGGUCUUUACAAUUUAUACCACUGGGGCAAGCUGCCAGGAGAGCAGUAACAUGUGAUUUCCAGUUCAUCUCCUGGCAUAAAUAAAUUCAAUACUCAUUCUUGAUCCUUUAACCAUCUGCCUGGAUUCUGUUCAUACAAUAUACUACUGUAUACAUACAUCUAUAUAGAUCAUACUUAAACAUAUAAAAGUAUCAUUAUUAUGACAGGGUCAUUUAAGAUCUUGGGUCAACCAUGGACCAGAAUCCAAAGUUACUCGGCAUCAAACCUAAAUGCAAAAAUGCAUUUGCAUGUUACAUGUAGAUGCAACUACACAGUGUAGCUGAAAUUGUUAAAUGAUUGUUUCUCCCAAAACUUUGAUCGGAGUCGUUGGUUAAUAGUUUAUCUUGGGUUCAACCCUGACUCACCUCGAGAAAUUUUGAGAAUAUAUACUUAUUUGUAAGGCUAUAAGCCAUAUUUGUCAGAAAGAAAAAUUGGUUCGAUACAAUUUUGGACUAGUACAAAACCGUCAGAGCUAAAAUCAGUGAAUCAUAAAAUUUAAGAUUAAUGUGAAAAGCAAACAAAAUGCAUUCACCACAACAUGAACAAUGAGAAUCUUAAUGAAGACAUCUACAUGAAUAAGGGAAGAAAUCUGAAGAUACUGAAUAAUCUACUCCUGAUUUCUCACUUUUGUGAGUUUAGCUUCUCUAGCUUUCCUUUCUUAAAUGAAAAGAGUGGAGGAAGAGCACUGUUCUUUGCUUGUGUACAGAGUGGUACAUUAAUCACAGGUCUUAUCCUCAUAGUUGCUGAUCUUGUUCUCUCCAGCCCUUUUUUACUCUUUUUCGCAUUUUUGUCCUUGUUCCCUGCUCUGUCUUCUUUAUCCGUGCCUUGAUUGUCCACGAGUGAGCUCGAGGACGAUGAUGAUGACGAUGAGGAUGACGGUGACAAUGUAGAAGGCCUCUGUUUUCUGAGGCGCAGAAGCUCUUUCCAUAAUACUGUGCAUGAAGGUGGCCUCGGAGAAGGAUCAUCAUCAAUAAACCAACUCCCUCUACUCUCCUUGCUUAAAUUUAAGUCCUCGACUUUCGAUUUGGCUUUCGGGCCCUCUUCGGAUCUGAGGGUGAUUUUUUUUAUCUCAUGGUGCAUUUGCCAAUAGGGAAGUAACUUACCCUCGAAAAAAAGCUCAUCAGCUGGCAGCAUUGUGUGGUUGUUGCUGGAGAGAAACUCGAAUGUUUUCUCACGGGGCUUUUCGGGCUCUUUCUCAACUUGGGAAGUUUUAAUACUGGGAAUGAAAUUCGUCUCGUCGAGAAAAUCAGAGGAGAAAGAGAUUCGAGGACUUGAAAUAGGCUCAGCUGAUGCUGAGUCUGUCUGGGAUUUUUCAGGGGAGACCAUUUUGGUAGAAAGUGAGGAAGAGGUUGUGGAGUUGAGUUAUGAAGUUUGUAUAGUUUAUAGGAGAAGCAAGUGCAUAAGUAAAACUAAGACAGUGAGAAUAUUAAAACUAAGUGGUCCUGUGAAGACAAAACAAGUGAGUUAAGGAUUUGUUAUAGAUUACAGGAACAGCACAUGGUCACCUUGAGAACUAGAGACAAGAUUUCUGCCUUUGUUUGUUUAAGGGUGGUAAAUUUUAUCAUACAGUGAAGGUCUUUUACAAGUAUUCCGGAAUCCGGAUAGCUUAAUGAUAAAGAUUUAUUCGACAAGUUUACGAGUUCGGGUUCGAGUCCGAUUCGGGCAAGGAAGAGGGCCCUGCAUAAACAACAAUGCUUCAUAAUCAUGAGCAUGUGGACUUGCAGCAGUCAUAGUCUUGGAAUAGGAAAGAAUAAAAUGCAUUUUACUUGAAAAACUAACUGAUUUUCAUCCAUUUCUACUUUUAAGUAGUUCUGAAAUGAUUCAUUUCUGUUGAGCUAAAGAAUCUUGAAAAAAGCUGUCAGCCAAGCAGAACUUAGUGGAGGAGCCUGACUGUUAAUAGUAUUUGCAGACUGGCCAGUAACUAAUUUUUUUGACAAAUAGUAGGAAACAUUUCUGUUCUUUCUUUUAUUGAUUCACAUGGGUACUUAGUGUUCUGAUAAAUAAGAUAAAAUGAAAACUGGAGAUAAUUUAACAAAGUAAAAAUAUAUGUAGAUGUGUGUGAUACUCAAACAUAGGGAAGAUUUGAUGUCUGCAGAAGCUCUUUUACUGAAAAAUUAAAGGAAUAAUUAUGAUAAUAACAUGGGAUUAAAGUCCAAAGCAUGUGAUCACAUGAGUUGAGUGCUGACAGCCCAUUUACCGAGCUAAGCCAGAUUUCUACAUUACAUUAUUCCCGGUGACCUUGUCACUUGUGAAAAUUUGAUAUAUUUAAUGCUCUAUUGUUAUGUUCUGCAGGAGACAUGGAUAGGAUGGUAGUAUGCAUUAUAUUCACCUCGGUGAACUAGUGUGACAGUAACUUGUAUAUUCAUCUCAAUAAACUAGUGACAGUAGCCCAUCCUUACGCUGGAUGAGAAUAAUCCUCAUUUCGGUGAACUAGUGACAGUAGCUUGUAUAUUCAUUUCGAUAAACUAGUGACAGCAGCCCAUUCCUACCCUGAUGAGAACAGCCCACCAGACUAUAAAGUGAUCCAAAGUCUAUGUCAUGCCCAAUACUCUCCGAGGAGGACAACUCAUGGAGUCUUCUAAGAUAUAUUUUCGAGAAGUUUUGAUCACAAGCUCCCCAACGAGGACUUCUCGCAGACUACAUAGUAAGACUUUUCUAGUCUUCGUUCACUACUUCCCAAUGAAGAUAACAACUAGAAUGCAAAGCUGUAUUUUCAAUCUUGUAUACGAAUCCGGCCCAUAUAAAUGAGCCCUUUGAGCGUAACAACUGCCAUCCAAGCAAAAUAUCCUAUACGUAGCAAAAUUUAUAUAAUGUCUUUGAGCAUGUGUAAAUAUGGUUGGUUAGAAUGAUAGGCUAAGUUAGACGUAUUAAAGCAUCUCCAGCAGCAUCUUAGCUCAUUCCUUAAAUAUAAUAUAAAAUAUUGGAUCCUAAUAAUAGCUAUUCUCACCUCCAACAAUAUUCCUUAUAUUCAUUCCUUAUAUACUAUUUUAUUAUUAAAAGUUACCAUUAUUGCAAUAGGUGAAGAGAGAGAACAUAUUUGUAUUCAAAAUUUAUUAUAAAAUAAGAUUUAGGAGAGAAGAGAGGUUACCUAAAGAUAAGGUAUGGCUAGUGGAUCUUAGUGAUUUAGGGAAUCACUAAGAUACUGUUGGAGUGGAUAAUUUUCCCAUAUUCCUCGUAUUUUGGUUUAAGAUUUCAAAUAGGGAAGCUGCUUAUGUAGCUAAAACAUGCAAGCCCACAAAAUAAUUAAUUUAAAAAUUAUUACAUAAAUUGGGCUACUGAAUUGGGCUGGGCUUACGUAAAUACUAUCUAUACCCAUGCUGAAAGCAAAAUUUGAAACACAGCUUGUCACCAGUAUUUUGAUAUUUUCUCUACACAAGAAAAAACUAAUUUGAAGCCCCAGCUUUGUCCACUAACUCUUCUCAACUGAUUUCUCUGUCAAUCUCUUGUUAACUAAUUUCAGGUAAAUUCAUUCAUUCUAUUACUUACUCUUAUUUUCUGUUACACUUUAAUUUGUUACUACUGUGAUGCAGUUACGAGCCCUAGAGCUUUGUAAUUUAUAUGAUGAUUGUUAAUUGAAGUUUUGGGUUCUAGUAUAAGCACUGCAAAUUGUGUUUGUUUCGAUUGAAAUGUCGUUGUCUCGAAAAGGAUUAGGCGAAUCAUAGUUUUCGGUUUUUUCUCGAAUGUACAUAAUUGAAGUUUAGAAGUUAAGAGGAACGUUAUGUGUUAUGUUAGGAUCAGAGAAGUAGUGCAAUCACGAUGGAAGGAGGAAUUGUGGAGGGAGGUCAAGCGGAGCAGCAAACGCAGCCGGUGGAGAGGCUGAACCAGGCUGUUCAACAGCAGUUGAAUUUGGAGUCGGUUAAGACGAGAGCGAUAAGUCUGUUUAAGGCUGUUUCGAGGAUUCUCGAUGAAUUUGACGCUAUUGCUCGUGCCAAUUCUCUUCCUAAAUGGUAUUUACCCUAUUGAGUCGUGUAUGUAUGGAUGAUCAUGUUAUUCUGAUAUUUCUGUUUAACCUGAGAGAUGAUUUGGGAUUCUUAAUUUUAUAGGCAGGAUGUUUUGAGUCAAUUCUCUAUGGUCAAUCUCGAGCUGUAUAACAUUGUGGAGGACAUUAAGAAAGUCUCCAAGGCUUUUGUUGUGCAUCCCAAGAAUGUUAAUGCCCAAAACGCUACAAGUAUGUACGUGGUAUCUAUUAUGAAUCAUACAAUGCCACACUAUUUACUCCUUGAUUAGUAAUUUGUAUAUAUAUUUUUCCACCUCCUCUUCCAGUUUUGCCUGUCAUGUUAUCAUCUAAGCUAUUGCCUGAGAUGGAAAUGGACGACAAUGCAAAGAGAGAGCAAUUAUUACAUGGCAUGCACAAUUUGCAACUUCUUUCCCAAAUCGAUAAACUAAAGGUUUAUUAUAAUUAGUUCACUUUUAUUAUCCUGCUUUAGUUCUUCUUAUUAGCACUGUCUAUAAUUUUGCUUGUUCUUUUUGUUUAUAGACCAGAAUUGAUAUGAUUGGAGCAGCCUGCGAAAGUGCUGAGAAGGUCAUAGCUGAUACACGCAAAGCCUACUUUGGGACCAGGCAAGGUCCCAGUCUUCUCCCCACACUUGACAAAGUUCAAGCUGCUAAAAUCCAAGAGCAAGAGAGUUUACUUCGAAGUGCUGUAAAUCAGGGGGAAGGUGUUAUACUCAACCAAAUAUAUUUUGGAAAUACAUUUGUUUUAAUUGUUGACUUCUCGGUCCGCACGGAUUAAUUUUAUACAAUUAUUACUUGGUGUACACAUACUUCUCUACAUUAAUAUAUACUUUUUGGGGGCUUGUUACCCCAACUUUGGUAUUUGCGUUGAUUCUAAGUUUUAGGUAAUUUGGAAUUCAUGAAUAUGGAUCAUAAAUCGACACAAGUGUGGCUGUGUGGAGACUCUGCCUGUGAAUUUAACACUUGAAAUUUCAUCUAGUAUUUUUCAGUCCUUUGGAGAUUCCAUUCUUGCAAUCCAACUAGUAUAUUGGUUUUCACUUUAAUGUUUUUAAUUGGAGUAGUCUAUAGUGUUCCUUAGCUUCCUCUUCGUGUAAUUGGACUGAGUACAAGUCCAGAAAUGCCAGAUUUUCUGCAAUAUAGGUGCCUUGAUGACACUUUAACUAUUCUAGUAAUAAAAUUGGCAAUGUGUGUAUAUUCCCUUCUAUUGACAAUUUCACAUUACUUGUUAUUCUAUGAACAAAAAUUAGAAGAGAUAAGUUGAUUACCCUGGACAUUAUGCUAUACCUCAAGUCAUAGCACUUGGAUGAAUUUUCGCAGGUUUACGAAUACCUGGAGAGCAGAGGCAGAUCACAUCUGCGCUUCCCAUGCAUCUGGUAGAUGUUCUCAAUGUUGGUGAAAGUUCUCAAACGUUUUCUGACGGUUCUGGUAUACACUAUCUUUUGCUGUAUAAGCCCGAGUGUCCUUUCAUAUGUUUAGAUUACAUAGCUUAAUUGUUAGAUCUCAGUCAUCUGACAUGUUGACAAUUUUUUGUUACAGGCAUGUACACAAAAAAUAAUCCUACCUUCUCUUCAAACAACAUUACCAGUCAGGGGAAUCUGAUACAGGUGAAUUAGAUAAUGUUUGUAAUGUGAAAAAAUUGGGUGCCAUUUAUACAAUUGAUUCCUUCCCCAUCUCAAUAUCUGGUAGUCUGUUACUGUUCUCCAACUAAUCAUCUUGUUUAUUCUUAUUCUCUAUGAAUUGAUAUCUAGUUAAAUCUCAAUUAGUCUGUCUCACUACGUUUUGCUACUUGGUCUCCAACUAAAAUAAAAUUCCUUGUUUCUAGCAAACUUUUCUAUGGCCAUUGAUACAUAUAGUCAUUCCAAUGUUAAUAGUUUAAGUGGCAAAUGAUCACCAUUUGGCUCUUAGUUUAAGAGUUCGUUUGGGUGAGUUUAGAAUAAUGACUUAUUUCUUAUAGUCUCUUAGUGUGAUAAGCGAAUAGCUUAAAAUUGUCUAUUUGGGUUUUGUAUUAGAGGUGACUUAUGACUUACUAAAAAUAUAAUUAUAAAAGUAAAUAUGAUAUGUUAGCUAUUUUAGUGAUGAAAUUAAUUUUUAUUAAAAAAAAUAAGUUAUUCGAAAAAGUACAUCCUACCAACUUCUGACUUUAAGUCAGUUUGUGACUUAUUUUUAACUUUAAGUCAUCUUAUGGCUUAUUACACAAAGAAACAUUUUUUAGUUUAAAGUCGAAAAUGGCUUAAAGCCCCGGCAAACAAGCUGUAAACUUCAUGAAGCUUGCUUGUGUUUUAAUUUCACUCCUUAAUGAAGCGAAUGGAAAGCAACUAGAAAAAGGGAAUAUAACAGUUUUAUUAUAUUAGAAGGCACGAAGUAACGAAUUAAUAUUUAGGGUCCUACUCUACUAGAACAUCCUUAAAAAUAAAAACUAGAAACUAAAAAAAAAAAAAAUUCUAAAGCAUAUCGAGAUAUAGAAUAUAUGGUAUGUAACUUGAUCGUUGUGAUAUAAAGAAAAAUAUAGUGAAGUUGGAUUUCAAAAAAAAAAACUCACUUAUUGAUGGGAAAGAUCAAAUUAGAAACGGAGGGGAUGGGAUCAUGUGUGGAAGGGUGUAUUUUAAUUAUGUGUGGUGACAUCUAGGGGGUCAUGAGAUUAUAUUCAUCUAAGUGCUUAGAUUUGUUCCAAGUUUCUAUUUUGACUUUUGUUUAUAUUUGAUCAUUUGCCUAUAUAUAUAUAAGUUUAGAAUCGCUCGAAUCCUAUUUAUCUAUUUUUUUAGAACACCUGUACUCGCUUUGGAUUUAAGAUAGGUUAUUGAUAAAGCAAUGUUGCCAGUGAUGUAGGAAGUGGUUAUAAUCAUUUUGUUUUCUAAUUAAUCAUCUUGGUAUCUGUCCCACUUUGAAUGUAAAUACAAAGAACCUGAUUUAAAAACUGUAGUUUAAUGUUGAUUAGUUCCCACUUUCUUUAUCUUUUUAGUGUAUGAAUUCACUUAUGCUUCCUGAUAAGAUUUAAGAUAAAUAGUUUGGGUGCUCUAUUCUGUUUUGAUAUAGAAAUGUUCUAUGUUCCUUUGCUAAUAAAUUUGUGAAAUAGGCUUCUGGAUCGCAACUAAUUGGAAGGACAGCAGCAUCUCCUGGUGCUACAGGAUCUACUUCAUUUGAUAAUACAACAUCUCCACUGCCAUAUGCCAACUCACCUAGGUCUGGGGCAAACAUACUCAAUACACCAUCCCCUCAGCAACCAUCACAACUCCAGCAGCAACAGCAGAGGCAGAAAAUGAUGCAGUUACCUCAGCAUCAGCAGCAGCUCCUUGCCCAACAGCAGUUUAGGCAAUCAUCCGUACCAGGGAUUGGGCAGGCAAACCUCUUAUACUACAUUAAAUUAUUUUAUCCAACUCCAGUGCCAAUUUGACAUGCAAAAACAACAUUAUAUAUGUUUUGCUUCGUAAAAUGGUGGUAAUUGAACCCUGUGUCCUUAUUAAGAAAAAAAUUAGAUGGUGCCAUGGUUGAUGCGCAUAGAGUCCUUGGUGCAUGUUUUUAUGUGUUAACUUAAUAACACAUCAUAAUAUAAAUGUUGCAUAAUCAAUAGACGAAUCCAUGCUGCGUAACCUGGCGGGAUAGAAAUGAUGGCAACACACCUCAUACAAGGCUUAAACACAAAAUUACUUGGUGUUUUACAAGUUUCUAGGCACGACUUGUUAUUUUAUAAUCUGGUAGGUAAGGAUUGUUGUAUUUUAUCUGCAGAUCUGGAUAUAUAAUGUUUGUCACCUUCUAUACACCAUUCCAACAUUAGAUGCUCUUGUAUAAUAUUAGAUAUGAGUAAAGCAGUUUUAUGCAUAUUCUUGCAUGAAAAAAAUCAAUAAUCCUUGUCGAUAUUUACUUUUUAAUAUUUAACUCAGUGUUGUCAAAGGCGAUCUACUCUAAAGUUGCCUUUAGUGGUUGAGUUAAUGCUGUCACCUCACCUUACCUCUCUAAAUCAUGACUUUGUGAAGAUAUUAGUUUCUAUCACUGGUUGUGAGAACAUAAAAUUCGAAUGAGAAAAACAUUAAGUAAUUAACAAAGAGUAAGCCCAAGAAGAUGAAGCUACAACCGUCCCUUUUCUCCUCGAGACUCACGACUCUUUCUUCUCUCUCCUUCCUACUUAACUAUAGACGGGGUCUUUCUUCUUCUUUUUUAUUCUUCUGGCCUUGCUUUCUCAGUGUAUAUUUUUGUUGUGGAUAUUAGGUAUCUCCCCUAUUCUAUCUUUUUUAACAAUUGAAAAGUUGCUAAGUUACUCCCUCUGGCCUCUACCCACAUGUAUUUUGGGACAGCUAAGAUAGGACACGUUGAGAUAUUGUGUGGGAGAGAGGGAGUAUAUUUUCUAGUGUCAAAUUAAUGUUGUGUAGUAUUUGUUGGUAAAAUAUUACUACACAUGCUCUUAUAUGAUAUAUAUGUAUAAUGUGUGUGUGUAACUCUCUCUCUGUGUGUGUAUGCUAUUGUAAAUUUGUAACACUGAUCCUUCACCAAGGCUAGUGCCUCACCUCUUUGUUCUUUAUAAUUUGAGAGCAAGCUCUUGUCACCUCACCCUUCCCUAAUCGAAGAACACCGAGGUGUGUCUGCCGUGUUUCGAUGAGUAAGCAGUAAUCUGAUCCUGAAAUAAUUAUACUGACGUAGAAUUCAUUGUUAAGAGUGAUGCAGACCAGAUGAUAUAUGAAAGUGUGCAAAACAUUCAUUUGUCACAUAUAUUUGUUAGAGUUUGAGUAGCACCAGUAAUUAUAUUAUUGUGUUUUGAUCUAUCGAAGUGCUGUAUCUUGUAUCUGUUUUUUCAUUUUUCUGUAUGUUUUGCAGAAUCAGCUAGUCCAGCUACAUGAUUUGCAGGGUCAGGCCCAACAAAAGUUUCAAUCGGUAAAUGCAACAUUGUAUCCAAUCUGUCUUACAUAGUUUUGUAUCGGUAUAUUUUGCUCAUAAACACAUCUAGACAGGCUCUUGUCUAAAUAUGCUCAUAUUAAAAUUUGUCACAUGUCUGUCAAUCGAAUUCUCUAUUGCAUCUGCUCCACAGAAUCACACACCUCAUAUUGAAUGCAGUCACUCGGUACAGGCUACCAUUAAAGCUAUAAAUUAUUUUAUUUAUUGUCAUAAAGUACACUUCAUGUACCUACACUCGGGUGUCAAGACUCAGACCAUUUGCAAUACUCUACGUCUCUACUUAAAAAAAUACGACUUGCCAUACUCAACUUUCAUUUUUGUUACACUUUGCAUGUUUCCGUUAAAUCACUCUGACGUUGCGAGGGAAUUAUAGGAAUUAGGAAUAUUAUUUCGACCCACCCAUCAAACCGUAAAAAUAGUCUUCUCCCCUCAAUUUCAGAAACCAAGGUAUCCUCAUUUCCUUUUUCCUCCAUCAUAUUGAAGUUGGUCUAAACAUACCUGUAUAUAUAUACACAAACCAGCAGUCCACAAAAUCCAUGAAAUCAUAAUUGGGAAUAUCAUCACCAUUCUCUACACCUUACCUUUCUGCAUUGAUAGACACUUCAUCACAACAAUCGACCAACAUCUUUUAAUCCUUUUACGCAAAGAAUAUGUACCAUACCUUGUGAUUAUUGUUAAUAAUAGAGUGUCGUACAUUACAUUCCGGCCACUGCCUACUGUCAACAGAAAUUAACAAACAAGGAAUCCCAUGCAAAAAGAUAACCAUGAACCUGAUUACCUUUCUAGAGAGGAGAGGAAACGGAGAAGUGAAAUUAAUCAUUAAGCUUCAACAUAAAAAAAUAAAAUAAAUGUCGCUACAAUGGUCUCCCGUCCCUAUUUUGAUUGCUCUGAAUUCAGGACGAUUUGAAAGUCUGGUUUUGGAUUUUUCUUUUCAACAUACAAGUAUCUUGCAGAAAAAAGUUAGCCAUGGUGUUCUCAAUAUUCGUUUGAUGGGGAUUGGAUCUUGUGGAUUGAAAUAGAAGUAUAAAUCUGGCUCAGAACCCCCACCAACCCACCCACAACUUAUUAUUGGUCCGAUAAUAUUUUUACCCUUUCUUUAGUAAUAUUUACCAACUGUCUUAGUGUUUUUAAAAGGAACCACUAAAGUGCUAUGAAACGUAAAAAUCACUAUAGCAAGUGGUUUUUUAAAGUAGAUAAUUGCAAGUGGUCUGACACCCUAAGUGCAUCUGUGCAUGUAUACAAGUGCACUUUAAAAUGUAGUAUACUUGCCUGGAAGUUGGUUUCCUACUUUCCAGAGGAACUGACUAUGUGUCUAAGAAUCAUGGGAAUGUUAAAUGUCAUUUGCAGAAAUUUAUAGAUCACUGGUGACUGCGUCCUAAUGUGUGUCAGAACGUCACAUUUUCAUAUUUAUAGUGACCCUUAGCCAUUGUUUGGUCUCACAUGAAUACAUGAUUAUGGCAUCUUCCGUUGAGUAAGCUCACGAGAGAAUUCUUUUAAUAAAAGUAAGCAUUUCUUCAGAUUCGGCCAUUUACAUGCUUAAAUUUUUUUUACUUCUUAAAUUCCUUCUCAAAUUGUUACAUUAGAAAAGAAAAAAAGAGCUGUAUAUUACCUUUCUAUCGUCUCCACUAACAAAGUAACAAUGAUAUAUUUCAGCCAUAGAUAUUUAAGAUCCUCGUUCCUAAUGCAGUCUAGAGAUGAGACAUACACUACUUGUUUAUUUUGAUAUGUUAAGUAGUUGAAAUGCACCUGGACAGAAGGUGGAUGUUUGACUCUUUAAUUUCAACUUUUGUAGGGUAAUUGCAUCAUUUACUGUUAUGUUUUGCCUAUCAAUAUUGCUCAUGUAUAUUGCUUGGAAAUUGUCGAAUCACAAUACUUUUUUCUUUACUUGUUUUUGUUCUGUAUUUUUUUUCCAAAUCUUUCCUGCAUAGUAUUGCCAGCUAUUAUGGAAGUUAUGAUUAAUCAAAAAUAUAAACCUAAGCCUAGUCUGGCAAUCAACUAUACCGUAUGCAGAGCCAGAGGACUACCAUGAUUCAGCUUACCUGUUUCUACCAAUUUAAAAAUUGAAUCGAGCAUAUCCAAGUGGAUAUUCCUCACUCCUAUGUAUUAAAGGUCAAGGGUUCAGAUCCUAAGUGGAGGCAGAUGUGUGUGCAUGAGAAUUCAAAUUUCUUUUGUUUGACCUUGCUCAAAUAAACGAAAAGCAUCGCAUAGUCAAGGUCCAUAAAUUUGCUAUUUGCACUAGCUGAAGUUUACGUUUUCUUACCAUCUUUUAGAAUAGGACUAGCGGAGAGAGAAAACAAACUAGGAUAUGAAAUGGUAGGAUAUAUGGGAUAAAUAUUAUUAUAUUGAAUAUGUCUUGUGAGGAAAUGGUAUUUGAUUUAAUGGCAUAUGAGUCCACCUCUUUCUUUAUUGUCAUUUUUUUAGCAUCCUUUGACGUUAGCGAUUUGGGAACUCUUACCUAAUAGAUAAAUAAUUCACAAGAACACUUUGUAUUCUCAAAUCAAUUCAUAAUUCGAAUACCAUGGAUAUUACUAGGGAGUAUUGCAAGAAUCUAUUAGAAAUCCUAUGAUUCGGAACUAUUCAAUUCUUAAUGAGAAGCACAAUAAUCUCUAUACAUAUCUAUUUUCUAAACUAAAUUGGAUAACUGGAACAACUCUUUUCAUGGCUCUAUUAAUAGAAUUUUGAAUCUUUAUAAAAAACUCCUACCUAAUAUAACUAAAAACACCUAAUUAGUUUCAAUUGGUUUCAUCUUGAAUACUGUAUAAUAGUAUAUACAAAUUCAGAUUAUAACUUGUUCCUUUGUAGGCAUGACUCUUUAUAUACGAUCUCCAUCUUCCCAAUUGUUUGUGUUAUAUGAUUUAUGUAUGUCUUUAUUAUGAAAUUGCUGAUUUUUGCUGGGAGAUUGAAUGAGAGGGAGCUGGGAGGGUGUGCUCUUACUCUGAGAUGUCAGUAAAUAGUUUGUUGAUUGUUUAAUUCAAACUAUCUGCAGAUGCACUCUCAACACCAAAUGCAAUUCUCUCAGCCAUUGGGAUCACAACAAUUUCAGAGUAGGCAGCUACCUUCUGGAUCUAUUCAACAUGGCCUCGGGCAAAGCCAACUUAACCAAGGAAAUCAGUUGAAUCGUCAUUUGAAUCAAUUCUCUAGCCCUGCCAACAGUGCUUUAUUCAAUGCUGCCCAGUCUACUCCAAAUACUCAGAUGGUCAGUUUAGCAUUGUUUAAUUUGUCUGCCUCUUAAUAAAUUCUUUGUUCAUUUGGAUUUUCAACACCAGCAUAAUAUCAUCUGAUAUUUGUUAAGUAUUUCUUCACAUAUUAUAUUCUGAUGCCCGCAUAUAAGUAUGUAUCUUACAAAUAUUUCUUUUAGUAAUUUAUUUAUAUCUAUAGCGGCCUCUGACUCUUCAGUAUUGCUACAGAAACUUUAUUGUUUAUCUUGAUUAUAUAGCAUUCUUUAAGGUCCAUCUGAAAAUUUGUAUAUUUUCCCCAAAAAAUUCAUAUUUACAAUAUUUAUUAAUUCUUCAAAGGCUUUUGUUCUGUAGGCUUAUCAUUUGAUUUUUUUUCCUCAGCAAUUUCUUAUAAUGAAAAGUUCUUUUUAACAAUCUUGCUCAAUGUUUUUACUCGACAGAUUUCAAAUAUGUCGGGAAUGAUGCCAUCGCAAUCACUCUUACCACGGAUGCAGCAGGUUAGUAAUUAAAUGAUUUGCUUCACUCUGGUCGUCUCUCUUCAAUAAAAGUUAUGUGGUUUAUUUAGCUAUGUGAAAAAUUUAGCUAUGUGGUUUAUGUCGGCAAUGAUGCCAUCGCAAUCACUCUUACCAUUGUCAUGUUUGGUUCGGUUAUUCAUACUUGGGAUGUAGAGGAAAUGGAAGAGCCCAUCUUCCCUGAAAUAAAUUACAUUUACUGUAUGUACUUUUGAAUGAUUUUCCAUUACGGCCCUCCAUUUCUUUCUUUUCAAUUAGGGUAAUUCUGAAAUGAAAACCUAUAUCUUCUUGAAAGGUAUUGCUGCUCCAGAGAACAGGGGCCUAUAGUGUAUUUGUAAAGGAAAUAAAGGCUUCUUUUAUUGAACUAUGUCUAUUGCAAUGUUUUAGUUUUAUAUGUUAUCUUUUAUGAUUCGCUUAUCUAUAUAUCUUAAAAGUAUAUACUAUUAUAUAGGUUUCAAUUUUUCCCUACGAUGUUUAGACUGGCUCAUCCCUUUCAGAACUCAAGUCCAUAAAGAUUCUUCAAAUGUAUACGGUACUAACAUUAAAGAAAGUGCUUGGUAGAUAAGCCACCUUUCAGAACUCAAAUGUAUAAAGAUUCUUCAAAUGUAUAAAGAAAACUGUAAUAACAAAAAAAUUAAAAGUGCUUGGUAGAUAAGCCACCUUUCUUGCUCACCAGGGUUUUAUGUUUCUAAUUUCUAUAUAUUGUGCCUGGUGCAAAUUUAAAUCAAGGUCAAGAUGUAGGCUUGAGUAUUUUGCAAAGGCCAGUAACUUGAUAUAGGUUCUUAUUCUGACCCCAUAUAUAUUGUUUUUGGCCUCCAUUAAUCAUUACACAAUCAGCUUGUUGAAAUCUUUUUGUUAAAUAAGCACCAACGUACUAGUAUACUACUAAAUGUUCUUGCCUUCCUAAAUUCCUCACUUCACCCUCAUAAGAACAUUUUGAAAUUUUUUAACCAUAAACAGAAGUUUUAUUUGUUUAGAUCUAGCUAUGAGCAUCAUUUGUGUUGUGAACCAGCAAUGUCAUGGUCAAAACCUCUGAAGCAUAGUUUCAUACGUUCUCACUUGAAUUUAACUGUGCCUAAGCUUACUUUGUUAUAUAUAUUAAGAGCAGAUUAGCUAGCAUUGUGUAGCUUCUACACCUCCAAUUUACUGCGAAAAAUAUUGCAUCUAUAUCGGCUAUUUUUGGUGAAAGAUCAACAUCUUGGACUGUUAUCAUCUUUUGUGCAUUAUGUUUGUGACAGCAAUUGUGGAAAUUUUUUAGUUGAGUGACUAAAAAUGAGAAAAUAGUCUUGUUUUAUGGGUGCUGAGAAGCCUAUAGUUAUCUUUAACAAUCACUUUACUGUACAGUAUGGAUUAUCCAGUGGCAGCCGCAGUCUUGCUUCCCAGAAUCUGAGUGAUCAAAGUAAGUAUUCUCUCGACAAGCAGACCUAAAGCUUUACUGGGCAUAAUGCUGACUGAUGUUUUAUAUUGAAAAGAGAUCAUAUUUUUUUCUUCUAAAGCAACAGUUCAUUGUCUCAUUCCUUGUAUGGCAAUAGAUCUGUUGGAAUUUUAUUAGGCUGAAUGUGGUUGUAUUUUCUUGGACAGUGUUUAACUUGGGAGCCACCAACCCUGGCAGCAUGAUGCCUCUUCAGCAACAGCAACAGCAACAGCAACAUGUCUCACAAGGCACAUUCGGGAACAUGGCGGCAAAUGCUCAGAAUAUGCAGCCUGGUAUAGUACCUCUGCAGAACACACAACAGAAUCAUCCCAAUUAUCAACAGCAAAGACAACAAAACCAAUAGAGGAGCUAAUGAAGUUCAGUUCAGUUCUGUGUAUCAAGUAAAAGUGUCUAGAGUAAAAACUGUUUCACUUUGCAUACUGAUGGUGUUGUGACAGACAGUUUCAGUAUUUUACCAUUUACCAAAAGUCCAAAACGUUUCAGAAGAAAAAAAAGCCUUGUCACUAGUCUUUAUAACAAAAUUCUAGGUCCUAAUUCUGAGUUCUCUUUCUAGUCAGGGUGGGAACACGGUGCGUUUAGUCAAAAUAAUUUAAUUUGGUUAACUUCGCAGAUAAAAUUUGGUUCAUCAUUCGCUAGGGACAAUUCGGUAGGUUCAUCAUUGGUUCGAUAAAAUCGAAGGUAAGGAAGAAGUAUUGAGAUUAGGGGAGAAAAAAAAUUAGUAAACUUGAACUCAAGUGCAGUACAUAAAUGAGAAAAAAACCACCACCAGAAAUCAAUUGAAAUGCAUUACGCUUAGUCCAUUCCGUACUAAUUCUGGUGCUCAUGCCUGACCUAGGGCAAGUUUAAAAUAGUUAUUAUAAUUAAAAAAAUGUACAGUUUAAAUUAUUUGGAUGGAUAAUUUUAUAUUAUAAAUAAUUUAAUAUUUAUAAUAAUAAAAAAAUACACCGUCCACUCAAUCAUUGAGAGUGUUUAUUUCGACACGCAGAUGAAAAAAAAAAUAAUCCCAAAAACUUGAAUACACAAUCUCACUCGCAAAAGAUAAUAAAACGUGUUAUUCCACUUUUCGCAACUUCGAAAUCGAAAGUGUAGCCCACCAUCCAACCCACCGUUUGCUUUGUCAACAAUCUACAAACCUCCCGUUGAUAUCUUUAAACCUAACAAUUCACCCUUGUUAUUAUCUUUCAAUUUCUCAUCAGAUCUAUUUUUCUUCAUCAUCAGGUAACAUCUUUUCUAAUUUUUCAUUUUCUUCAUUCUAAUCAACGUUUUCUCAUACGUUUCUUGAUUAAAGCUGCGAUUUUUAUUUGAAUAUUGUGUUCAUAUGCUCAAAUUGAUCUGGAAAAUGAUUUGAUUAAGUUGGUAUGAUUAAAAUUGAGGCCGUUCUGAUGCUAAGUUUCUGCAAGAUUUCAAUUUUAUUUGAUGUUUACAAUUUGAAAUUUUUGUGUGCAAGUGGGUGUUUUAAUAACGGAGAAUUGUGUUUCGAAUUGGAUUAAGUUAUGAUCGUUUGUUUGCGAAGGUUAAGCGUUAUGAUCGAAUCAGGUCUCUAGUUAUCAUGAUGUGAAUUUGUAUAUAGGUUAAAUGGAUUUUGGUUGAUUUAGAACUGUUUGUAAAAAAAAGGUUGAAAAUUUUGUUUUGUUAUAUCGAAGCGGGUCUAUACUGUUUUUUAUUGCCAUAGAAGUUGAUAGAUGAGAGUUUUGUGGUUCUCAACUAGGCAGUUCUUUGAUUGCAGCAUGAAGUUUUGCGUAAUAAUCUCAUUUUAAAUUGGCUUGAUUACGUGCAAGAACUAACUUUAUUGUUUUGACUUGAUAAGGCUGCAAUAACCAUCUUAAUUAGUGGAUAUGUUUGCAUUAAACAAAGUUGUUUCACCCCGGCCGUAGUUAAUGAUUUUUGUGCACAUUUAAUUUGAUGUUUUUCUUUUUUUAGGGCAUCUACAAAACCAUGGCUCUUGUGCAGACAUAUCAUUCACAAGUUGGACCUUUUCGGGGUGACCGUAGGUCAUCUUUUAACAGGCACCACCGUCCUUUGAUUAAUACUACCAUGGCUCCCACCACCAACAAUAGCUGCAAUCUCCCUCAUAACUUUUUCCCAAAUUACGAAAAUUCUUAUGAUUUCUCAAGAAAUUUCUGGGAGUCUAACUAUUGCAGUAAAAUUGCUGAGGCUGACGUAGUACCUCCGAAUAAAAGGAGAAAGUUUUCCACGUCUGCCUGGGAAAGUAGCACGAGACCAUAUAUCCAACCUCCUAUCUAUGAAAAUGGUCCUUCAGCAAACAGAAACACUUCUGCCUAUUUGGAUAGUGUGAGAGUUGAUGUCUGUCAACCUUCAAGUGGUAAGCGUGACCGUUCGAAGUUAGAGGAUGAGGAUUUGGUGUUUAUGUCGAGAGAUGAGAUUGAGAGAUGCUCCCCUUCAAGGAAAGAUGGAAUUGAUGCACUACAAGAAACUCGCCUGCGCUACUCAUAUUGCAGUUUCCUUCAAAAUCUUGGAAUUCAGCUACAAAUGUAAGUUUAUUCAUUACAGCACAUUUAGACAUCUUCAUGUAGAAUGUCCAGUCUGUUGUAUGGUAUCCGAUGAUGCUUUUGAUAUUACUUUCAGACCACAGACCACCAUUGGAACAGCUAUGGUUCUUUGCCACCGUUUUUUUGUUCGGAGGUCUCAUGCAUGCCAUGAUAGAUUUGUGAGUACUUUUUUAAAUCUUAAUUUUGCUGUUAAAUUGAACCCUUUCUCUUUUUCCGUUUAUUCAAUGAUUCUAUUUCGUUUCAAACUUGACGACCAUGUCACAUGCUUUUUGCAUUUUCACUUGUGUUUGAUAGUGAAGUAUUUUUCAGAGAUAUUGGUAUCUUAUGAUAGGAUCCUGUUAUGCCUCCUCUUUAAGUAUGUAAUACAUGUGUAAACUUAUAUAUAUAUGUAGGUUACCACGAGAUUAUAUUAUCAAAAUAACUUAUAUAAAUCUUAUUGAUAAACUCAUGCACACAAAACACCAAGUGAUAUUAGAGAGAUCACCAAUUCUCCACAUGUAACUAGGUGAUAUUCGAGAAAUCACCCGCUCUCCACACACACAUCAAUGUCUAAUUUAAGCCUCCCUCGACCUGCAAACCUUGUUUCUAUUUGUACUCAUUUUAAGAUAUUAUUUGUCCCAACUAAUCCUCUCUUUGAUUUGUAACUGACACAAUGCACAAAUAACUCCACCAAAUCCUCCUAAUUUGAAAAUCAAGAUAUCCUUCAUUUUGAAAUCUUUAAUCAAGAGCACUGAUUAUGUUUUACUCAAAUGAAGAGCCUAACAUCUUAUUUGAACACCCACCCAUACUUUUAUAGUGUUUUUCUUUUCUCGGUUUGCUUGACUGCUCAAUUUCUUACUUUGCAGAUGAUAUCAACUGCUGCUCUGUUCCUGGCUGCCAAGAGUGAAGAGACAGCAUGCCCUUUGAACAAUGUUUUGAGAGCUUCAUGUGAAAUUCUCCAUAACCAAGACUUCGAUGUUCUCUCAUAUCGUUUUCCAGUUGUGAGUAUCCAUACUACCACUAUGAACAACUUUUUUUUCCUUUUUCUUUUUUAAUGUGCAGCUUCAAGGUAUUUUCCCAAAAGAAGACAGUAAGAGGAAUUAUCUAUUUAAAAUUACUAUGAUAUCUCUCUUAGUCAUUUGCCAUCAUCUAUGACUUCUUAGUUCUUACUGAUGCUAUGAACUCUGAAAUGUUGAGUUAGUUGUGCAAUAGAAGUAUAGUUGUAAACUAAGAAAUGAAAAAACCUCAUGUAUGACUUCUUACUGACGCUAAUUUGAACUCCAAAAUAUGAGUUGGUUGUCAAAUGGUAGUAUAGUUGUAAUAUAAUCAAUAAAAAAACUUCAAUUCCUAAAUAAUUUCUAAGUAAUUACUUCGGAAACUUUAAGAAGGUUGUCUUGAUUAUAGUAUUAUAUAUGCUGAGCACUUACAAAUUGUGAUUCUCUUUCAAAAUGCUUUACUAAAUUGAGUUAAUCUUGUACAGGGUUGGUUUGAACAGUAUCGGGAAAAAGUGAUCGCAGCGGAGCAUAUAAUAUUGACAACUCUGAAUUUUGAGCUUACUGUGCAGCAUCCUUAUGCCUCUCUUACAUCCACGCUUGAUAAAUUAGGCCUUUCCCAGUCAGUGUUGGUUAACUUGGCUCUUAGCUUAGUUAGCGAAGGGUAAGCCCAAAUUCUGUUAUCUUCUUUAAACCUCUUUACCUGGCCGAAUUUUUUGCAGUCGGUGAACUACAUUGAUUCUUAAACUUGUACACUCUGUUGAUAUUUGACUAUGUGAUCAAGAAUGUGCAAGUACCAAAAAAUUAUAUGCCAGGACCUGACCUUGCUUCCUCUGUUGUUUACUUGUUUUUACUUUCUGGUGUUUUGCUUUCUCCCGUAUCUGUUUCUUUGCAGAAAUUGAGUUUUUUGUAGGACCAAAAUUCCAUUUCAGUCAAAAUUAUGCAUCAGUCGAGGCUUGGGUAUCCUGCGGUGGAGAAGUUAUUUUCUCUGGGUUUAUUUCUGUUACCUGUCAUGAUGUAUUUAUUGAAUGCUAUCGAGUAAAUUAUCUGUGUAGUAAUUGCAGCAUGCUAUAUUGAUUUGUUUGGAUUGACAUACAAUUGCAGGGUUUAGAGGAAUAAUGUGCUCGCCUAUGAAUGAUAUUCUUAGCUGGUGCUUGAUAUGCUGUUCACCAAAAGUUAUAAUUAUCAUCUGAAGUUGAUCCAGGGAUGUCUAGUGAUGCUCUUAACAUGCAUACACAUAAAUAGUCUGCACAAUAGCAAUAAAAGAAGCCUCAGGAGCUACGAAUCCAGUUCUGCCAAAUGCUUUAUAACAAUUGUCUGUGUACUGUUUGCUUCAUGAAGUCCUCGUUCAAAAUUAUUUACUAUUCACCAUGGCUUCCUGUUUGCUUAGGGUGCUGAUGAAAAUGUCAUCAUGGUCCGAAAUGGUUUUAUAAGUCUUCCUGCCACCCAUCCAGUGGUUAUGUGUGUGCUGUUUAUACCGUUAUAUCCUGUCAAGACUUUCCAAAAUUAGUGUUGACCUUUACAUAUGUUUCACUCCUAAAAUUUAGAGACCUGUAAGCUUGAUUUGACCUCUCCUGUAAAACUUCCCAUAUUUGUUCUGUACCGAUUUCCUUUGCCUUCUGGGUAUACUUAGUACUUCUAUCAACGGAAGUAUAGACAGCCUUAGUGCAGAUGUAGUCAUGAUUUUAGAGCUCAGGUUGUGUUAAGGAGCAACAGUUUAACUUUACACUGAGAGCAGAAAGUCUGUUAACUUGUAAAGGUUUUUACCUCUAGAGAGUGUGCUAAUUAAACUUAUCAAUGGAGAGAUAGUAGUGAGAGGAUGUGACAGACAAGACCACUGCAUAUGCGGGAGCAGAAAAGGACUGUACCACCUUUUAAUGUGAAAGGUUCUACCUCAAUUCUCUACACUCACACAGACACACACAUAGAGUUGGGGAAGGUAAGCUUCUCUUUGGAACUUUCAACAAUUUGCACAUGCCCUAUAAAAAGAGAGCGUUGGAGAGGUAUAUCUGUCUUCAGAACAGUGAACAUUAAUACCUUAAAUCUCUCUAAAGCUUCAUUGUUUUUCUUGUGUCCUAAGAGAAUGCUAGAAGAUAAUUAGCAACAUAUCCAAAAUUUGUGCUACCAGUAUGAUUUAUCUUUAUAAGAAAACACUGCUAUAUUAAGUUGCAUUAGUCUUUAUGCACAUAAAUUGAUGCAACUAUUAUUUACAUUUUGACAUGAUUUUCAAGAAUCACUAUCUUAUGGACAUCAAUGGUGAGGAUUUUUUUGCUGAAUUUAAUUUACUUCACCGUUUCUCCACGAGGCUUGAACCCUCGAGCCUUGACCACUAGGCCAAAGCCAAUAGAACUAUAAAUUUGGUUCUAUUUUGGGGCAUAGUACCUACACAUUUUACAUUUCAUAUACUUUUCCAAUAUGUGUGACCCUUUGUGUUUCCAAUCUAGUUACUACAUUUUUUGACAUCGAGUCCUUUGAAAUUUGGAAAAGCACAUUCAUGGAAUAUGUUUCUAUGAAUUGUUAUCUUCAAAAUGUAAUUUGAUAUAUGACUAUGUUUUGCAAAACAUGGUUUUAGUGGGUUGCUUGAGAAUUUUCAAAAUCUUCUUUUGAUGCAAUGGACUUGCAAUGAUCAUAGAAUUAAGUUAGCUAUAUAUAAUUGGUAUGAUGUCAUUUUCAAGCUUUCGUUUUUUCUCCUUAACACACACAUUUAUAAAUGAACUCCCUCACUCCCAAACAUGUAAUUCUAAAGAGUUAAUUGCAAAACGCAUCCGGUUGGUUUGGUCCAACUGCACUUUAUUACCUAAACUUUAGAUAAUUGCACAAUGAACCCCUUAACAUAUUUUAGCGCCACAUGUUGAACCCUUUUGGCCCAUUUUCGUCUAUUUUGACCUAUCACUAUGUUAAAUUAAAAGGGUAAAAUAGACCUAAGAACCUAUAACAUUACAUUUUAGUACAUUCUUAAGUCUAUUUCACCCUUUUAAAUUCCACAUUGAUUGGUCAAAAUAGACAAAAAUUGUCCAAAAGGGUUCAAGGUGCGUCGCUGAAACAUGUCAAGGGAUGCAUUUGGCAAUUAUUUAAAGUUUAGGUAAUAAAGUGCAAUUUGCCCAAACUAAAGGGUUGCAUUUUGCAAUUAAAUCAAUUUUAAAUUGCAAGUACAUUAAUUUUUUCACUUUGUUUACGUUGUGUACCACACCUACAUGGAAAAAGUAUAAGUUUUACUAAUGUUUGUUUUGUUUGCAUAUAGUUUUACUCAUUUAAUCAGCAUAAUUGAGCAGGAUUGGGCUUAAGUAUUACUCCCUCUGUCCCAAAAUAAGUGUCGCUUUGACUUUUUUCACGUAAUUUGAGGUGUAAAAAAGUCAUACUUCUACGUAUUAUUUUUCGAAUUUUCUUUUUCUGAAUAAAAGUUUAACACAUAUAUUUUUAUUCAGAAAAAGAAAAUUUGGAAAAUAAUGUGUAUAAGUAUGUUUUUCUUGCACCUUAAAUUACGUGCAGAAAGUCAAAGCGACACUUAUUUUGGGAUGGAGGGAGUACUGAUUUUCUUUUAAUCAAAUGAGAGAUAAACAUGCCAUCUGAACCGGCAAAGAAGUCUGUUGUGGUUUACAGUGAAAUGUUUUCCUUGCAAGGGAGUGUUGGUGCGUUAAAAUCUUUGGCUGUAAAUAGUUUACAGAGGAACGGUAGCUAGUGCCUAAAAUCCUUUUCAGCUGUAGCUUACAGAGGAAUUGAAACCCAUUCUCUCACUCAAAACGGUUGAUGGAAUGUGCAUUGGAUACAAUAAUGCAAGUCUCUAGUGCUAGGGCCAGGCACUCAAAUGCACUUAUAGAUGUGAAUGUAUCACUUCAACCUCUGUUUAAUUCAGUUGAAGCUUCGCAAAAGCACAUGUUGUUUUCCCUAUGUUAAACGGUUUAACUUUUCUGAUAGUCAUUGAUGUUGAAGUGUUUUUUCUGGGUGGAGGUGGGGGAGGGGGGUUCUGCACAGUGCACAUAGACAUUUGGUUCCUUUAUUGGCUAACGUGAAAUGGUUUGUGAGCUAUGCCUUUGUCAGUGGUUCAUAAUUUUUUUGGGAAUAUGUGCCUAUAAAAGGCACUCAUGGGAGUAUUCUACUGUAGCAUGAAAAUAAGGAGGGUCAAUCUAGCAGAGUGAUGAGCAGAACCAUCUGCUUUGGAUAUAUAUGGUAUUUUUUAGUAUCUGCUUUACUUCGAGAGAGCAAAGCACUCACCUUUUUGUUAAGUUCUUGGCCUAGAUCUAGAUCAUCUAUACAAAUGUUUCGGAGGUCAGAGGUUCAGGUCGUAUCCUUAAAGUUUGUCAGCUGUAUUUCUGAUGAUUGUUUAUGUCGGACUGGAUGAGCAGUUAGCAUGCCACUUAUACUUGCAGCAAAAGGUUUUUUGUAGUUUCAGCACGAGCUCUUUAUUUCCAGUAACAAAAAAAUUUGGAGGCUGGCCUGCCUAUUCAGUCUAAAAGCUGAUCAUACUGGCAAUCUCUCUGAAUUUUUACUAUGAAUCAUUUUUUUUCCUACCUAUUUAAACUGCGAAAGUUGCUGGAGUCAUAUAUUCUGCUGCUACUGAGGUGGGAGUGGGAGUUGAUGUUCUAUGUAGAUUGCUAUAUGAUGUGUGAUAUAAUAUUACAUACUAUCAACAAUUCUUCAGAAGAUUCUUGGAAAUAAUCCACCUGUUGCUGCUUUUGUAGUUGGUAAGGGAAAUUACCUGUCUUGUCUCCUCUUGGGAUUCUGUGAUUUCAUAUAGAUAGCAAAUUUAUAGCAGGCUAGUUUAUUUAAGAAAAUGUCUGAAGCUGACGUGGUUGUGUAUUUUGUGUGGCAAUAAACAAUGUUCCACGAGAUCGUAUUGUCUCAGAUGGUUUGUUUUAUCAUCCAAUUCUCUCCGAGCAGUGCUCAAGAAUGAUCAAUUUAGUGCUAGUCUGACUAAAAGUUUCUUCUUUUUGUAGGCUUAGGAGCUCUCUUUGGCUACAAUUUAAACCCCAUCAGAUAGCUGCUGGAGCUGCAUAUCUUGCUGCAAAGUCUGUGAACAUGGAUCUCACUUCAUCACAGCAUGUCUGGCAGGAGUUCCAGACACCACCCUCUGUACUUCAAGGUAUGUGUACAAUUAAUGUUUAGGUAUAUAUUCUCUAGGUUUGCUUACAAUCUGCUGCUGUUCGACCACGGGGAAAUAUGGUGCUUUCCAAGUUUUAUACAUAGAACUAUAUUGUAUUAUUCAUGUCAACUUCUUAGAGCCGGUUGCUUUGAGACUCAUUCUUUUCGUCAAUGCUCUAGAGCAUAUCAUUUGUUUACCUAUGAAUUAUACUCGCUUGUAUAAAGGUUAUGACAUGCAGUGGCUUUUUUCUUUAAUCAGAUGUUGUCCAGCAAUUAAUGGAGCUCUUUUAGAAGAUAGCAUGGAAGACAAGUACAGUGGGUCAGUGACGUGUGAGUUGUAUCAGUUUUUUAGGGUGGCGAUCGUUCAUAUACCUGAUGUGAGGUCGUCAGUGUUUAGGUGUAUAUAUAGUAAAGCGGCUAUGAAGGAGAGUUUUUGUUUAGAGAUAUUAUUACUGAUUGAAGAAAAUUUCAAUCAUGGAAAAGAUUAUAAAUUUACUGUGUUUUUGUAUCUUUUGGCUACACGAAUCUUGUUUAUUUCGUUUUGUUUGAGAAGUGUUUAGCACUUGUAGUGGAUUGGUGAUUUACUACUUGCCUCUUUAAAUGUAUUUUCUCCGGUUGCGAGAUUAAUCUUCCCCUUUGAUUUUUCUUGUAUAUCUGCCAGUGCUAACAUAUUUGAUUUGAUUUACGUACUUCAAACACUGUUUAGCCCCGAUUGUAGUUUAUUGUCCAACCAUCAGACAGGUGUUUCAUUUAAUCUGGUUUGCGGCUUGGCAGCUUACUGAACAUUACCAAGAGGAAUUUUCAUGUGCGCCUUUAAGAAUUUAGUGGAAAGCUUUAGUUUGGAAAAAGGAUUAAUUAUUCCUGACAAAAAAAAAAAAAGGGAUUGAUUAUCAACCAAGAUAUCAACUUCGCAACUCAAUUCAUGGGAUAUUACUUGAGUUACUAAACUGAUUUAGUGAUAUCAAAAACUUAGCUAAGGCAUACAAUGAACUAUAUAUUGAACAUUACCGAUAUUUUCUUAUAGUGAAUGGGUUGGCAAGAAAAUUCUAAACCUCCUUCUUAAUUUUCUUGUGUUUUUGGGUUUCAAAUUACAUUUACAAUUCUUAAUAAAUUAUUAUUAAAUACACACACACAUAGAGGCUAAAUCAAGUAAAAAUGUACCUUGUAAUAAAAAUUAGAAAUUACUCUUAAAAGUUACAUUAUUCUUAAUCAUAUAUUUAUAUAAAUAAUAUAUAUACUCAUGUUAUAUAUACUCAAAAAUCAAAAAGGAGAAAGUGGUAAAUAAAUAAAUAUAUAAAUAUUUGUCUUUUUAAUAUUAUUGCUCAUGUUUAUUGUAAAUAACUUAUUUGUAUAUGAUUUUUUUAACAUGAAAAAAAGACACGUGGAUAAAUUCUUGUAUAUAUUAGUUAACAACAUAGUUAAAUUAAAUAAUACUCCCUCUGUCCCAGCCGAAUUUUUUAUAUAAAAUAUAGUUUUAUAAUAUUUUUUUAAUUUUUCACAAUAAAAUUUGAUGUUUGAAUUUAAAUCAAACAUAUAAUAAUUAGUUGUGUUCACUUGGUGUGAAUGGAAUGGAGGAAGAAUGGAAUGAAUUUUGUACUCUAAAAUGAUGUUGAUAAAAAAAAAUGUAUAUAAUUUUCAUUCAUUUAAUCAUUUUAAUCUUACUUUUGACUAUAGUUCUAAUACACAUGUUGUCGAAGGAAUGCUCAUUCCAUUUCAACAUCACGUGUCUUCACAAUUUUUCUCAAAAUUUUUUUUACUAUAUUCAUAUUUUAUCACCAUUAUUUCAUCAAGUAAACACAGCCUAAGAGAUACAAGAGGUAGUGUGUGUAGUAUUGAAAAGUAGUUUAUUUUGGGACGUUCCGGAAACGAGGUGACAUGAAAUGGCACGGAGGCCCAAUGGGCCAUGACCCAUAUAUAGAGCGAAUGUGUAAUCAGGGUUCUGAAUUCUGAUAUGUAUUUCUCAGUGUAAUCAAUCAAUCUGAAGAUGAAUCUUACAUACGAUCGCGAUAUAUGCCCGGCCGAAUGGGUGGAAAUGGUGAAAGAUGCACAGAUUCGGGACGGGAAGCGUAAGUAUCAACCACCGCCAGAGUCGCCGGAAAAAGAAGUUCCGAAGAGGUCAAUUCGCGAUAUUCUCUUAAAUCCAAGUCAUCCAUGGGGCUAUGAUAAACUUGGCAAGACCAACCUGUUCCAUCUUUUCACUGCGGCCGGUACACAAUGCCUGUACACAAGGAAAGGCGAUGCGGUAAAGUUUAAUGCUAAUUUAUAUUUUAUUGUUGUAGAUUUUUACUGUUAUUCGUGUUCGAGGAAUUAUUUGUGAAUUUUAAUUGUGUUGGUUGUUAUUGUUAUUGAAAUUGGAAUCAGUAUGCAAAAUUUUCAGGUUAAGGUUAUAAUAAUACGGAAUUAUUAUUUUGUUGUUGUGUUUCAUGGUGUAUGUUAAUUUGUCUAAAACUAGUGUGAUUGAUUAUUCUGUGUUCCCCUCUCAGGUUAAGGUUGACGAACUGCGGGACAAAUUUGUUAUUCUCUAUUUCUUGAGAGAUGAUGUCCGGAAUGUGGCUACUUGUCCAGAAUAUAUACCCGACUUGAUUGAAACUUACCAAAUUCACGGCAAAUCUGAGCUUGAGAUUGUCUUUAUCUGGCUUGGUGACGACAAAGAGGCGUUCUCUAAUCAGUUCUAUAUGCCGUGGCUUGCUGUCUUACCAGAGGAUGAGAGAACGGUCAAUGUCCUUACGGAGGAGUUUGACUUUAUAGGCCCUGUGUGCUUCCUUCUUUUUGACCGCAAUGGCUUCUUGUGUCUUUAUGAUGCCAGAGCGAACAUCAAUGCUUAUGGUGUCUUAGGCUUUCCUUUUACCCAUGAAAAGAUUGAGGAAGUAGAUAAGGAAGCUGCCAAACUCCUUUCUGAAAUCAUUGAUGGCAAACCAGUUACAUUGCCUGAUAUUUUGGGUGCCCAUGUAAUUUCCCCCACAGGAGACAAGGCAAGUGAACAUUUUAUAUUUCGCGUGCAAGGCACAGAUUGAUCAUUCAUACCAAAGUAUAUUAGAUGUAUUUCGCAAGUCCACAUUUUCAUUCCCAUUUGUCGGGAAUCUCUCCAUAUGUUGUGUCUGACCCAUGUUUAUGUUUUUUUGCAGGUACCUACCUCCGACCUAAAAAGUAAGACCGUGGGUCUUUACAUGUUGAAUGAAUAUCCAUCUCGUAUUAUCCUUGAGGAGUUGAAACGUAUCUGCGAGGAUAAGAAAGAGGAUUUUGUCUUAAUUCCCAUCAUCACAUCGUACCAUUCCUCAUGGUCAUGGAUCAGAGCCGGAUGCAGCCAUCUCGAACGUAGCAUCCCUUGGUACACUCUGCCCGCUAUUAAGUGUCGCUACUUGAAUUCAGUUUUCCAUAAUAAACUUAAGGAGCCGUAUUUUUCGUAUGGAGCAUGUGAUCUAGUUAUUCUUAAAGGCGAUAAGCAUAUUCCUGUCAGCUAUUUUGCCUUGCACAUCUUUGCAUGCUUCGGAGUUGAUGCCUACCCGUUUACCAUAGAAAACGCCGUGCAAGUGGCAAAGAAGGAACAACAAGGCAACAUAGUACUGAAGGAAAUAUUAUCGUCCAAGUCUAUUUUACGUAGACAAGAUUCAGCCGGCAGUGAGGUAUGUGUCAUUAUUUAUGAGCACUAUCUCGCAUGAUAUAGUUUUUGUUUUUAUUAUCAUAUUAUUUUAUUGAAGAUAAUAGUUUUUGUUAUUUUCAAUCACAUACUAUUUUAUUGAAACGUCUUCUGAAACUUGUACUAAUAAUCUGCCUGGCAGGAAGUGAUCACUGUUUCAGAGCUCGAUGGUAGACAUGUCUUAUUAUUGUUUGGGACUCAUGGUUGUGAGUGGGAAUCAUUUUUGUCAACCAUAAAGAAUUGGUAUGUUGACAAGCCACAUGAUGUUGACUUCGAGAUCAUCUACAUUCAUUUGGAUAUCAGUUUAGAAUCUACUUCCUUCUCAAGCACUAUCGAGAAAAUGCCUUGGGUGGUCCACUCGUCUAAACCAGAGGUUGCAGUUUCCUUGUUCGAGUGUGUGUUUCCCAUAUCUGCACACCUCCCUGCCAUUGCAGCCUUUGGGGUAAAUGGGCAUCUAGAAACAAAAGGAUCAGACUUAGCUUCUAAUGAUAAGUUGGUCUCUCAGUAUCCAUUUAUACAGGCUGAUAUGUAUGAUGAGGUUUAUCAAGAACUAAAAGACGAGCACGGAUGGGACUUGAAAAAUCUCUUUCCCACUCCUGAAGAGAUAGAGAUCCGCUCUUUAAUGUACAGACGGAUUUAUGGAUAAAUCACUCAGAUGGCUCUACUUAUAUGUAUUUAGAUAUCAAAGUCUGUAUGCAGUGAGUAAACUGGGUUAAGCAAAAACUAGAACAAUAUUGUUUUUAGUUUUUACGAGGAUAUUUUUUGUGCAGAAAUUUGUACUGAUAUUGCUUUUAUGCGUAUGACCCUUUUAUAUGCGUUUAUUUUAAUGUGUUUAUGUUCUUGUCUUGAUUGGCUUUCAGAAUUUCCAUUUAAUUGUGGGCAUGAUCUCGUGAUACCUUAAAUCUUAACUUCCUUUAUUCAGGAAUAGAGAUUGAUAUAGAAUUUCUUAUGAUAAUUUCUUUAACAUAUAAUUUAUAUAAUCUAUUAUAUAUAUAAUACCGACUGGGUUUUGAUUAUUUCACUUAUUUAAUACUUUUUAUCACUUAUAUUAAUUGUUGUUGCGUGUAAUUGUGUGUAUGAUUGUGUUGUUGAUUGUUUGUGUAGUGUAUAGAGUGUGAAGAAUUGAUUUGUGAUGAUGGGUAUUCUCCCUCCGGGGUUUCGGUUUCAUCCGAUUGAUGUGGAGUUGGUUAUGUAUUAUUGAAAGAGGAAAGUGAUGGGCAAGAAGUUUCAGUUUGAGGCUAUGGUUGAGCUGAAUGUGUAUAAAUAUGAGCUUUGGGAUCUUGCAGGUUUGUUGUUGAUUAUGGCUUUUUUAUAUUGUUUUGUAAUAUGGGUUGUUUGAUUUUUGUGGAUUUUGGUUUUGUGGGUUGAAUUUUUUUGGGACUGGAUUAGGUUGGAAGAGGGGACUUUAGGGGUUGGUAUGAUUGAUUUGUAAUAUUGUCAUGUGCACAUUUAGCACUCCUCUUUGGCGCACUCAAAAUGUAAAUGAGAGACUUAUUUCACAUGUGUACUCUUACAAAUACAAAAUUUGACGAUGUGUGCAUGAGGUCAAAGGACUAGGAUAAAAAGAAAAUCUAGCUCCAGUACCCAUGCUAUUUACGAUUGAGCAGGAAUACUCAAUGUUGUAGCAUUUGUUGUAAUUUCCAUGUCAAAUAUUCUCAACACCACAGUAAGUAAUAAUCUUCUGUAAGAUGCUUGUAGAAAGUAAAACACAUUUUCACUCGCAUCUAUUUCAGAACUAUAUUGUCUCAUGAUUAGCCAAUACUGUUUUAUAAUACUAUUUAAAUUGAUAGUUCAAAGUUCAACAUUAACAUGGACUAAAUUACUGUUUCAAACAUAGUCCUCAAAGCUUGGGACUAAGGGAUUUGAAGGAUAUUGUAAUAUUGGAACAUUGGGGGUGUUACUGAUUGUUUUUUGUGAAAUUACUUAUUCUUGUUGCUGGUUUGUAGUGCAGCGAGUAUGGUUUAAGUGAGUCCCUUAUAACUUUCAUGUGGGAGCCAUGAUACAAUUACCUAGUGAUAUGUUACAAAUUUGGUUUUUGGAUUUAACGAUUCUAGAAAGCCACCUUUAUCUCUAUCCAUAACAAACUAAGUCAGGGAGAUUCAUGGUUUCCAGCAUCUGGCAUCGAAAUAAACCAUUUAAACCUACAGUAUGAAAAUAAAAAUUUGUGAUGUGAUUGUCACGCACCUUAUAACUCUUAGGUUGUGUUCACUUCAUGUAAUGGAAUGAGGGGAGAAUGAAAUGAAACUAUAUGAACAAGUUUUAUGAAGAUUGGAGAAAGUAUGAGGCAAUAAUGAUUAAAUAUGAGUGAGUUAAAAAAUUUCAUGAAAAAGAUGAUAGGAAAAAAUGAUGAACAAAUGGAAUCAACAUUCCUUUCAAAACAUGUGGGUUAGAUUUUUAGUUAAAAUAGUUAGAAUGGAAUGAUUGAAGGAAUGAAAAUUAUAAACAAUUUCACUAAUCACUCUCAAUUUAUAAUAUAAAUUUCAUUCCAUUCUUCCCUCAUUCCAUUCCAUGAAGUGAACACAACCUUAGUCUUAUGCUUUAUGCGUUAUAGAGGUUUAGCCUUUUGAUAGUGCUUACAGUUGUCCCUUAAUAAUUUAGAUUCUUUACAUAUUUCAGAAACUUGUGAUUCUUGUACCUAUUAUUCAGUCAACUUACUAAUUUCAGAAAAAUUCGUAGUCUGUACCAAACCAAACGGCUCCAUGUUCUCUUUAGUUCAAGGGAAAAUGCAAAGUGGAAAUGUAAAAGGCUUUUCUUCCCCUAACAAAUUAUUAGGAACUAACUUCUUUAGUUUCUCAACUUCAUGGUUAUAGAUCUCUCUUCAUUUUAUCACCAUUUUCUUUUUUAGCCCUACAAUAGAUUUACAUUAUACUUCAUAGUUCAGUAAAAUAAUUAAAGAUAGAUCAGUAAGAUGGUAUUUAAUAGCACUAGUUUUGAGUUUUCUUUCACUUUCAUAAACAGCAUCCUUAAACAAGGAUAAAUUUUGGCAUGCUCUCUUAAUCCCCAGAUGAUCUUUCCUACAAUUCUCCAAGAUAACAAUGAUUCCCAGGAAUUACAAGGGCCUUGAGGCCAUAUACACUAUACAGUAAUCAGGUACCUUUGUUUCUUAGCGUUAACUGCAUCAAAUAAUUGAAACAGUUCUGAUACUGCAUAAUCUAUGAAAUUGCCAUGUUUUGUGAUUAUAUAAAUUAGGCCAUGUUCAAUGCAUUAUUUAAAGUGAGUAGAGCUCAAAAUACACUAGUGAAGGAGAAGUGCACAAAAUUUUUCUUAUAUGGAUGGGUGAGUGAGCUAAGACAUUAUUAUAUGUUAAUUACUUCCUGCAAAAGGCACCUGAAGCACAUUUGGGAGCCUUCAUGUCCAUGCCAAAGAAAUAUGUAAAGAAUCUGAAUAGUAGUUUGCAAAAGUGAGCUACGGAGUAAUACUGAAUGCAUAUAUGUAUUGCUCGACAUAUAUCAAUGAAGGUCAUCCCCAUUAUGGUUUAGCGGAGGUCCAAUGUGUGCAAACUUAACUUCUUUUUUUCUUCAGGAAGAGGCUGUCAUGUAAAGAAAAAGAAUUAGUUCUGUCAUGCUUAUUUGAGUUUGGGAGAUCCAGUCUACUGUCACUUAUACACCUACCACGUCAAUGAACACAACUUCCUGAAUAACUUACGAGUAAAAUGCAAAGUGUUGACCAAACUUUAUCCAUUUUUUACAUUUUAGUGACUAAAAUUUCAAAUUUGAAAAUAGGUGGCUGGACUUUGUUUUUAUGUCUCAAAGAAAUGGCUAAUGCCCACGUUUCUGAGAAAAAAUUAAUCAAAAAGUGGCUUUUAGCCACAUUUUUGAUGAAUUAAGACAAUAUAUGGUAACAGUAUUGCAAAUUUGAAUUUGAAUUUGAAUAUGAAUUAAGACAAUUUGACAAUAUAUGGCACUAACAUAUAUUUUACUCAUAACUUAUAUUUAUCAUUUCCCAUAAUUGCUUUUGGGACUUGUGUUUAUGUAACUAUCAUUUCCCAUAAAUUGUUUUUGGGACUUCUGUUUAUAUAACUCCACAGUGAUACGCAUCACUAGAUUGAUUAGUUGUACUGUUGUAAACGGAGCUCUUAAACAAGCUCCUAUCCUUCAAUUUAAAGAGGAAAUCAAAAAAUAGUGCUUCAAUGGGCUCUUAGAUGCUCUUUAAAAAUUUAAGAGCUUACCAUCUCUCCUCUCUUUUAAAGAGCAUCUAGUAGCUCUUAACUAAUAUUAUAUUAAUUUUUCACCCACUACACAUUCAACCCUUUUCUCUCUUUUCACUUCUCUUUCUAAUUUAUAUGAAUAAAAUAUUAAUAGAGAGCAUGUAUAAAGAGGAGCAUUGGAGUUGGAAGGUUUUUCAAUGUCUUAACUCACUAAGAGCCACAUAUUAUAUUAUAUUUUAAAGAGUGAUUUAAGAGCACCAUUGGAGAUGCUUAAUCCAGCUUUUUAUUUCUCAUUCUUGUAUUUGUGUAAACCAACUCAAUCGGUCUGCAAGUGCCCCUCUUUUUGGUUCUAUUUUUAUUUUUGUCAUUCUUAGUCUUCUUGUUUAUGCUUUUUGGAAGUUUAGUUUUGGGUUCUAUUGACAGGUCUGUAUAUUUUCCAUGCAGAGAUCUUAUCCCCCCUCCCUUCCUCUAUUUCCCUCUCUCCCCCUCUCCUUUGUUACCCAAACUCAGCUAGAAUGUCAAACAUGGAUAUGAGUUGUUAUCCAGACUCAGCUAAAAUGUCCAACAUGGAUAUGAGUCCAAGUGCAUUCCCUUAUAUUACUGUAGCCCAUGCAUAUGUUGAAAUUUUCAACUGUUGAGAAAUGAAACUUACCUAAUGGUCUAGAUUAUGCAGCUUUAAGUCAUUUGUAGAAUUCACUAUUGUCACAAGAUUAUUUUAUUUUAUCUGAAUAGCAUCACGUGGAUGAAUGCAUUAAAAGCUUCAUAUAGAUGUAUUCUUUAAGAAAAUAAUAAUGAUGUAAAAAGACUGGCUUAGACUUUUUAUACUGUCAAAGAAGAUGGGGGAACCAUAAAAAUUAUAUUUGGCUAGUCUUAUCGUUUUAAUAAUCUAUUUGCUUUUUUUCUAAAAAAUUACACUAGCAAUGUCCUACUCUAAUAAAACAUAUUUGGUAGAAGGAUUUAUGUCAAUUUUAAAAACCACACAAAUCUAAUAGGAACAUAUUUGGUACAAGGGUUUAUGUCAAUUUUGAAAACCACACGAGAACUAUAAAAGAAAAAUAAAGACUACCUUGUGCAGAAUUAGUAGUCAUUAUUCAAUGCUAAUAAGAAGUGAACAGAGAAAAACAGUUUGAUAGCUGUUGUAUUUAAAAUAGCAAUUCUGAGCAGGAAAAUAUUUGCAAACGUGAUCUCACCAACAAGCUUUUAGGCAUCGGUAAAGGGUUCUACGUUCUACCACAACAAAAUAUGUGCCAUCGGCGAUAUCAAAAAUGUCGUUUGGCAGGUUUUGAAUUUUGAUAAUCUAUAAAACACACAUCAGGAAUUUUUCUCUGUACACGACAAUUAUAUGCAGGGCUGAGCAUUUGGUAAAACCGAAUGGAACUGAAUUUAAAUUCGAUUAACCGAAACUGAAAUAGCAGAAAAAACGCUGCCGAAAAUCGAACCGAAAUUAAUUUGGUUUUUAAACCGAACCGAAAUUGAUAUUUCGAUUACCGAAAACCAAAAAUUGGCAAAAUUCUGAAUUAUAGAAAGCAAACACAUAAAUAAUAAGUUUACAAGUCAUGAGUACGAUUAUUGAAUCUGAAAAAUCAAAUACAUCCCAGCAUUAAUUAACCUCCAUAAAUAUACAUCCCGACUGAAGCUGCCGUAGAACUCGCAUCCAUGUUAAUUUUCUCCAAUGCUGAAAAAAGAAAAUACACUAAUUAACCUCCAUAAAUAUAAGAGUGAGCAGUUAAUAAAUAAUCAAACAAAUAAAGAAACAUACCCUCAUGUUUCUUUUCUUCCGGAUCCUCCUCCGCACUUAGAGCUUUUACACUCCUCAUCCAAUCUUCUGCACAUAUAAGUGCUUCAAUCAUUUUAAGGUGUAGUGGACUCCUAAAAUCAUUUCGAACUCUACCACCGUGUUAAAAGCCGAUUCCGAAGCUACGGUGGAUAUUGAAAAAGCUAACACAUCUCGGGCCAUUUGGGAUAGAAUAGGAAAUCUUAUAAAAUUAUGCCUCCACCAUUAUAAUGUCAAACUCAUCGGAAUCCCUAAAAGUUUUUGGUUUCUCACCCAAAAAUUCUUCAAAGUCCGAUGCACUACGUUCACUUGGAUUCAAUCUAAUAUCUCUCUCAAAUUGCAUCCUCAAUAAUUGAGAUGGAUGCACAUGGCCAAGAUCUUCCUCCCUCAUUAAUUCUCUAGCAUCACACCUUUGAUUAUUAGGUGCAAUCCUUGACUUAUAUAACUUAUAUGCAUAAAUUUAUGAGUUGUUAUCUUGCAGCAAGUGCUACAUGGGGCGGAGUAUCUGGAAUUGGACGCUCAUUUGGUUCAUCUUUUGAACAUAUUCUCCACCAGAAGGGAAGUCAGAUUCAACUAGAGUUGGGAAAUGUGUAUGUUUUAUAAUGCUUUUACAGGAGGCUCUUCUAUAUCUAGUGUACAUAAUAAUAAAAACAUGAGGAGUAGCUCUCUUGUCUUGAUCAAGGUCAUUAAGUUAUGAAUAGGCCGAUGUUUAACCUCUACAUUUUGCGUUACUUCAUGAUUUUUUUAAGGAAGGAGCUUUAAUAGUAAUCUAGACCUUAACUACAAAAAAGUUGAGUAAAACUAAAAAGAGAUAUUUACUACAAUCAAAGAAAUAUAAUAGACCCGUUAGAUGUUUUUCUAGUCUGAAGGACGUAUGUAAUAAAAGAAUAACGGUAAAGACAGUUUGUUGGACAUUUUAAACUCCAAAUUAAAUCUUAGUUCCUUUCAAAUAUGAAAAACGUUGAAAUUGUGGGAUAAAUUGAACAACAUCGUGCCUAAGGAUAAAUAGCUGAACUUUGGUCAUUCUUGCUCAGUCUUACACUAAAACUUGGACUGCAUUGUAUAUCUUCUUUCUAACAAAUUCUCUUUGUUAAAAAAGCAUUUACCUUAUGAUUUUAUAGAUAUAUUUUAUCAGUAUUAGAGCAUAACUUUGCUGUAUAGGCUGAAAAUCUGUGCGUGAGCUGUAAUAAAGGUAUAAAAAUCAAAUUUUGUUGUUGGUACAUAUGAGGGUUGAGGUCUGUCAAGGAUGGGAGAUACAACUUUCCCAUCUCAAAAUCUCAGUGUUUGAAAUAAUCUCAGAGACCCAAUUACCAUUCAACAACAAAUUCUCAGUAACAGUUGCAGAGCAAGGAAAAAAGGGAAUUAAGUUGCAUGAUUUUUGUAAAUUAUUUAGCGAUAUUGUCAAUUGUAAUGUACUUUGUAGUUUAUAUACAUUACACAAGUACAAGAAGGUGUUUAGGUAUUACUAAUGUAGUAGAAUGAUCUGAGGGUGUUUUACUCUAUUUGAAUAUAUAGUCAAUAAUUGUUAUUUGUUAGUAGGAAGUAGCUAUCAGUGGUGGGUCGUUGCGAGUUUAGUUAGUAUUUCACUUGGCAGAGACAUGUCUGCACUCUGCGAGAAUACUCUUAUCUCUGUAGCAGUUUGCCCAACCACAAAGCUACUUAAGAUUUUAAACAUAAAAGCCCCUGUUCCAGAAGCCUUAAACAUGAAAACACCUGAGAUGAGUAUCAGAGUAUGGAAGAAUGUUGGGAGCUUGGUGCAAAACAUAGGCUUCCGUUGCCUUUGGUUGGGGUAAAUGGAUGGAAUGAAAAUGAGAUAACUGGGAAUGGAGCAUUUCUUCCCAAAGAGUGGGGAAUUUGAGUUCUAGUUAAAGAUUAUAAGAUUGGAAUGAGGGAAGUAAUGAAAUUUGUAAAUAUUAAAUAUACUAUAGUUCAAACACCUCUACCAAACACUGACUUAAGUGAAUUACAAAGAGAAUACUGAAUAGCAUAUAUAUAUAAGCCUCGUUUCAGCGGGGAUAGUAAAUGGUUUUAUACAGAAUUGCACACCAUGUAUAGAGGAAGGUCAUGAACAUGGCCAUUUUCUGGUGGCCAUAGAACAAACACAAAACUACUUAAGAUUUUAACCAUAAAAAGCCCCUGUUCCAGAAGCCUUAAAAAUAUACAUGAAAAUUCACAAACUUCACACAUACCUGACGAAUAUGUAUAAAUCAACUUGAUAUAGCUAUCUCAAAUCAAUAAAAUCUGUAGUCCUAUUUCUGAAGUAAAAUACAAUUUCAGCGGGGAUAGUAAAUGUUUUUAUACAAAAUUGCACACCAUGUAUAGAGGAAGGUCAUGAACAUGGCCAUUUUCUGGUGGCAAUAGACCAAACACAAAGCAACUUAAGAUUUUAACCAUAAAAAGCCCCUGUUCCAGAAGCCUUAAACAUAUACAUGAAAAUUCACAAACUUCACGCAUACCUGAAGAAUAUGUAUAAAUCAACUUGAUAUAGCUAUCUCAAAUCAAUAAAAUCUUUAGUCCUAUUUCUGAAGGAUAAAUACAAUUUCUUAUAUCUGUGUUCUUAAUCUUUUUUCUUUUCCGCAAACUCCUGUUCGAAUCAACUAAAAGAUAUGACGCUUACCUGCUCAUAAAGUAUAGUGCAGAUGAUCAUCAGAAGUUGCUUGGAAUUUUCUUAUGCCUAGAAUCAGUACUCCUGCAGUGUCCUGCGCAAACGUUACCACUUAGGUUACAAAAACUCCUGAACAUUCUAUAACUAGUUAUUACCCUUAAUCGCAACUUGAAGAUUUCAGGAAACUGAAAACGUGUGUACACACUCAAUAUGUUCACGAAUUAAACAAAGCUACACGACAAAAAAUGCUCUUGAAGCGGUCCAUCUACCAAGGAACCAGAAGUCAGAUGAAGCGCAGAGUUCAAAGAUAAGAAGAGGAUCAAUCUGCUUGUCUUGCAUUGCCAAAAAAUAAUAGUAAUCCUUAUUUCCCUAUGUCUAGGUACAAGUUAACAACGACAUGCAAAUUUCUUUCCUAACAUUUAUGUUUCCUCAUAAUUGGCUAUGCCUUCUUUUUAUUUUUUAGUUUGUUCUUUGUCCCGAAUUUGAUUAGAUCCUCCAAGCUCAUUGUGCCACCUCGGCCACUUGUGCUUUCUCUGGCAUGUGCGGUCCUACCUCCCUGAAAAAACAAGCAAACCAAAAAUGCGAUUAGAAAAUAUAAUUAUAUACAAUUAAAACACAAAUUCUUUAGUAUGUCUCACCAAUUCUUUGGUAUGUGUAUUCAAAAUCCUUCGGUCUUCUGCAUUUAUAAGUAACAUUACAUCGUGGUCUGGAUUUGUGUGAGUAUGAUCUGCUUCAGGUUCAGAGAAACAUCUGUAAUAAGUGUUUUCAGUACCUUUUGCUUUCGUAUCUGAAAACGGAACUAUAUACUUGAUUUGUUGUACCACACACAACUUUUUAUCACCAUGUCCCACCUUUUUCGUGCAUCUGACAUGAACUGCAGACGGAACAGGGCAAAAUAGACUCCCACUACGCCAAAAAUUGUUGAACUUGGUGGUGUUGACAGAAUUUACAACAUCAACCGCCUUAUCGUUCCCCUCAUCCACCAGCUUCAAUGCAAAAUUUGACCUAGUAUUGCCCCUAAAUAAGUUCAAACACCUUAAUCCCCUAAUAAUUUCAUCACAAUUGUCGUACAAGUCUAGAGACAACUCCACGUACUUUUGUACUGUGAGAUUCAUUUCCAUACCAUGUUUAUCAUACUCUUGUAUUAAGAACCAGAACUUUCGUUUUACAUAGCCAAUAGUUAAUCGAUUGUUAUUGCAAUCGUAGUCAGUAUCCCAUGAGUUUACCCCUGACCACAUAUCAUAUAUCUUUUGUCGAAGUGAAGCUGUCAAUGAGUUGAGAUAUUCCUAUAAAACAUGUCCAAAUAAAAACAUAUAUCAAUAUAGCAUACUGACUGAGCAUAUAUAUCAACACUAAAUUACAAAAACGAAACAUACCGCUAAUUGCAAAGAUAUGUUCGAAUCUUCUGCUCUUUGUUUAUAUUCAGGAACUAGCGCACCGUCACGAAGAAAAACUCCAUGUUGUACAAACCAGAUUUCUUUUUCAGUCAACAACUUGAUAUUAUUUUCAAGUUUUUGGUCAUUAGAGUCGACAUCAGUGCUGGGUACCCAAAAGAAAGCAUGAACAAUGUAGCGAUCCUCCAUAUUCUAAAAUAACAAAUCACAUGAUAUAUUAUAGCCAUAACGUCAACUGAGUUUGAAAGAUAAAAUCUCACCAACUUACAUAACAAUCAUCUUUCAAAACUUAAAAGAUAAAACAACCGGAAACUAACUUCUCCUAGUCUAACAAUCUAAAAUUUGAUUAUAUGCAAAAAAAUAUGGAACAGAUCUGCAAUCAAUUAAACAGAAGCCUCGAAAUAAAACAAAUAUUAAACACAAUAUCAUCUGAAAAAUUGGUUGAAACACUUACAAGUCCUUGACUAGAAUCAUCUGCAGCCUGAGGCUGUUUCUUCGAGUCAUCGAACUUUUACAUAUUGCAGGUAUUACUCAGAACAAUACUGGCGUGGUGGAUGCUCUAUUGCAGCAAAAUAAGCAGGCUGGACUAUGGGUCUGUACCGUGGUAUACAAUGUGUGUCUAUAUUAGUACGUUUUAUUGCGCGGAAAGAGGGCUGCUCUGCCUUGCUGGUGCAAGUUAUGGAGAUGUCUUUUGGGGAAAUCAAUUGCGUGAGUUUGCAUAUAUAUAAUUUCUUUCUCCAAUCCGAAACGAAUUUUGUUUUACUAUGUCUACGAUUUUUAAAAUCUAAAUCAAAUAUUACUAACCAAUUUUAAUUCAAGCAUAUAAAUCAUACUAUAACAAAACUAAUUUUAUCUAACAUAUUUUCUUAAAAAUAUAUUAAACAAAAAUAAUAUCAUUGAAAAUAUUAAAAUUAAUAAGACGAAUAUAAUCCUCACGUAAUAAAUAAAAGAAAGAUGUGUUUUAAAAGAAAUUAUUAAUUGACUGGCACGUACGAGAAAAAGCUUAAUUUGGCUAGUGGGGAAAAAUAAAAAGAUAUUGGUAAAGAAAAAACUCUGCAAAGAAAAAAUAUGUUUAUAAGUGUGAUUAAAGAUGGAAGUCCAGAUCUGACAAAUUUACCACGGGAUGUUUCUGUAUUUUGCUUGUAUGCUUAUAAUUACCUUUCUUAUUGCAAAACAAAUUAUAUUUUUCAGAAUUUUAAUUCUAAAACCAUAUAAAUUUAAAAAAAAACAAAUUACAUUAAGUAUCAUAAUUUUUAUAAAUAUAAUCUAAUAGAAGUUUAUGUCUCAUGACGUACACAUACAUAUCAAAAGAAUAAAUUAAAAAAAAGACUUAGAAUAAUAAAAGUUGAUAUUACAUAUAAACGUGCCUAUACGAAUCCAAAUCAACUAAAAAUAUUAAUACAUCACAAGUAGUUUUUCCUUUAAAAAAAUAUAAUUUCAUUUUGUUUUAUUUGAUUAAAAAUUAUAAUUUAUUCUUGAAAAAUAAAUUUUUACAUCAUUUUAGAUAUAUCAAAAAUAAAAAUUAUUAAAAUUAUUAUAAAAACUCGAGUGCAUUGCACGGAUUAUAAGCAAGUAAUGACAGUACCGUUAAUACGUUUCAGGUCGUUUGAAAAGCAAUCAGUCUUAAAUUUUUUUUAAUUCUUUGAACUAAUUAUCAUAUUAAUUUAUAUUAAAUAAAUUUAGUGAUAAUUAAAUUUUUCAAUGUGGAGAUUUAAUAAUCGGUGGACGAUGGAAAUGUAGAAUUAAAAAGACUCAACACAUACAUAAAAUAAAUGUUUUCUUGAAUUUAAAUAUUAUCCAAAUUUAAUUGUCCUGACUUUUGUGGUCAAAAUGACCAUACUUUGGCAGAUAAUGAUAAAUCAUUAGUUUAUAAUUUAGAAAAACUAAAAAUUAUAUUCUAAAGUAAAUUACAUAAAUUUUUUGAUAAUAUAAUUUUUGUAAUUUUCAUCAAUGAUAUAAUAUAUACAAGUUUCGGUCACAAUUGAGUCAAUUUAAUUACGAAAUGUUAAAUAAAGGGAAUAAUAUAUUCAAAAAAUAUGUUUAUUUAUUUUAUUUAUUUAUCAGAUUUAGUUAAUUUUGAAGCCAGAAUUUUGCAGUUUGGUAUGUUUUAGAUGUGAGCCCUUUUACUUAGAUAUUUUAUCAAAAUUAUUGGUCAAAUAAUUUUUUAAGUUUGAAAGUGUAUGUUGGUCUGAUGUUCGACCAUGUCUUCAUCCCGAACAUAGGUAGUUUGACAAUCGAUUAUGAACUGGAUUUUUGGAUUUAUAAAUUAGAAACACUUGUUUGUACUGUUCGUCUAAACAGUUAGAAAAAAAAUAAGAAUUACUAGUUUUAUAUAAUUGAUUCUCAAUUCUACUUCAUUUUUUUAUUUUAAGGAAAAAGCACCGCAUGGGCAUCCUUGUUUUUGAAGAAUUCUAUACUGAAUAACAACUGAAUAACAAUAUAGUACUUAUUAAAGGGUGUUACACGAGGCUUAAAAGCAUGGUUUCUUAGUUUAUAAGUUAUAAGAGCAACUCCAAGGGGCUCUCUAAAAAAGCUUUUUAAGUCUAAAUUUUAGUUGCAAAUCAAAAUCUAGUGCUCCAAUGAGCUCUUAGAUGCUCUUGAAAAAUUUAGGAGACUACUCUCUCUCCUUUCUUUUAAAGAGCUCUUAAUUCAAUAUAAUAUUAUUUUCUUUUCAAUCUUCUCUCUCUUUUAGUUAACUUUUUCCUCCUACUUAUAUAAAAUAAAUAUAAAGUGUGAAUUAGGAGCUAACUAUAAAGAGUAGCAUUGAAUUCUCACGUUUUCCGAUGUAUUAACUUAUUAAGAGCUACAUUUUAUAUUAUUUUUUAAAGAAUGAUUUAGGAGCACCGUUGGAGAUGAUCUAAGCAAUUAUUCAUACUAUUCGUAUAAAAAGUCAAGGAAUACUUAUAAAAAGUUGUAAAUACUGGUUUUUGUUUCAUGGCUUCUACUUCUUUCUCAAACACUCACUUAUAAGUCUUAAAUUACUUCUACUCCCUUUGUCCCCUACAUAGUUUAUCUUGGAGGAUGAGAGUAUGACACGCUUUCUAAUGUUCCUAGAAAACAUAAUUUCGUAAUUUAUUUUUUAAUAUUCUUUCUUUUGAAUAAAAAUUUGAUAUUUGAAUUUUUAUUCACAAAAAGAAAAUCUCAAAAAUAAGUUACAUAACUAUAUUUUGUAAGAGGUUUAAAAUGCGCGGCGGCCGUGAAAAAUACCCGUAAAGAAAGUAAAGGACGGAGUGAGUACCUUCUAAUUCACUUCUUUAUUUUAAGAAAUAAACACUUAUUUCAAACUCAUCCGGUCAUCCCGUCCCUAAAAAUGUAGAGAAUAUCUUCGUUGAUGGACCUAAUCAACUAUAUAAUUCCUGUAUUAAGCAUAUAUCAAUCGUUUUGAUAUAUAAAUCAAGCAUUCGUUCUCUAACCCAUUUCGAUAUUAUUCGUGUGGAAUGUAGGUACUACGUCAUUUCAGCUAUUUAAACUGCGAAAGUUGCUGGAGUCAUAUAUUCUGCUGCUACUGAGGUGGGAGUGGGAGUUGAUGUUCUAUGUAGAUUGCAUAUGAUGUGUGAUCGUAUAAUAGUACAUACUAUCAACAAUUCUUUAGAAGAUUCUUGGAAAUAAUCCACCUGUUGCUGCUUUUGUAGUUGGCAAGGGAAAUUUCCUGUCUUGUCUCCUCUUGGGAUUCUGUGAUUUCAUAUAGAUUUCAAAUUUAUAGCAGGCUAAUUUAUUUAAGAAAAUGUCUGAAGCUGACGUGGUUUUGUAUUUUGUGUGGCAAUAAACGAUGUUCCAUGCACGAGAUCGUAUUGUCUCAGAUGGUUUGUUUUAUCAUCCAAUUCUCUCUGAGCAGUGCUCAAGAAUGAUCAAUUUAGUGCUAGUCUGACUAAAAGUUUCUUGUUUUUGUAGGCUUAGGAGCUCUCUUUGGCUACAAUUCAAACCCCAUCAGAUAGCUGCUGGAGCUGCAUAUCUUGCUGCAAAGUCUAUGAACAUGGAUCUCACUUCAUCACAGCAUGUCUGGCAGGAGUUCCAGACACCACCCUCUGUACUUAAAG